UUGCUUGGUUUUAUGUCACAAUGAAUUAUAGGUGUUGGAUGUCCAUUGUGGAGGUGUUCUAUAGCUACCGCAACAUCUAUCAUUAUGUCGACCCUUUGUAUGAUAUCAAGGAAACAAUUUUCAGAAUGUAACCAUUUCUCAAGGUUUCCAUUAGACAUGUAAUCAAGCACCAAGGCUUUGAAGUCAACACUUGAACAGCAAGUAAUGACCUUCACAAUAUUACGAUGAACUAUAUUACGCAUAGCAUCACAUUCAAUGUCAAAACUCCUAAAUGCUCCCUCUGUUUGCAAAUUGAAAACUUUUAUUGCAACUUCCAUUCCAUCUGAAAGCCUCCCUUUAUAUACACAUCCAAAACUCCCUGAACCAAGCAUAUUGCUUUCCUCAAAUCCAUUAGUUGCUCUUGAAAGUACAGCAUAUGAAAUUCUUCUCGGUGUUUUCAAAGACAGCAAAUCAUCUUUAAUUGGUAGAGUUGUACUCCUUCGCCGGCAUCUUCUAUACAUAAUAGUUAAGACUAAUAGUACUAUGACAAUACCAAUUGUUGGUAAACCAUACCUAAAAGCAUGCAAUAUAAUCAUUUGGGAGUUUUUGUGGAUGUCGUUUUUGCAAGGUGGGACUAGCAAUCUAGGUGGACCACAAAGUGCAUAAUUCCUCAUGAAUGAUGUGCUAGAAAAGUUUGAAAAACAUCCUUUGCUGGGAAUUUCCCCUUCAAGUCUAUUGAAUGACACAUUAAAAUACUUUAGAUAUAAAAGCUUUUCCAAAGAUUUGGGAAUGACUCCAGAGAGAUUGUUAUUGGAUAAAUCCAAGAAUUCCAAACUAAUCAACCCAUCAAAUGAUUCAGGGAUAUGACCAUGUAGUAUAUUAUUUGAUAAAUCUAAUGAAACCAAAGUUUGAAGACCCCCAAAUGUGGAUAAGACAUCGCCCGUGAGAAGAUUCCUUGAUAAAUUUAGUUUCAGUAGACUCCUCAAAUUUCCAACAUCAAUAGCAUGUGAAUUGUGAAGAUGGUUUGAUGAUAAAUCUAUUUCUAAGAUAUCUUUAAGAUUCCACAAAUUUGAGGGUAUUGCGGAACUCAAUCUGUUGGAAUUUAAGUAAAGAUAUCCCAAAGAAGUAAUAUUACCCAAACAAGAGGGUAUGGGUCCAUGCAGCUUAUUCAACCCUAAAUACAUCUUGUAUAGUCUCUCCAAACCACAGAGGCUUUCGGAGAUAGGCCCUCCUAAUUUAUUAGAGGAAAGAAAUAGACCUUGGAGAUUUCUCAUUCCUCCUAUUGAUGCUCGAAUCAAUCCACUUAAUUUAUUAUAGCCAAGUUGUAAAAGCAAUAGGUUGGUUAAGUUACCUAUUUCCAUAGGAAUAAUGCCUUGAAGCUCACAAUUAUGGGCAUAAAAGUAUUGAAAGGAUUUUGAAAGGUUCCCGAUAUAAGUAGGAAGAACGCCACUCAAUGGAUUUCCUGAAACCGCUAUUUUUCUCAAAUGCCUGCAAUUCGAUAAAGAAGAAAGAAAGCUCCACUCAUGAUCAGUAGCAGAUCCUGUGAUGAAAUUAUUGUUUACGAUUCGGAACCGUUCAAGGUGUCUUAAGUUGCCAAGUGUUUUAGGGAUUGGACCAGAGAAUAAGUUAUGUGACAACUCUAGUUUCUUAAGCAUGGAAGCAUUGGAGAUAGAGUUGGGAAUGUUUCCGCUAAGUUUAUUUCCCCACAAAAAAAGAAACUCAAGCUUUGGAGCAUUGGUGAUGGGUGGUAAAUUACCUGUAAAAUAGAAUCUUUUAGUAUACAAAUUCACAAAAUAUAUAAUACAUUAAAGUAAAAACUGUAAAACUUUAAAUCAAUUAAGAAUAAAAUUUUGGCAUGGAAAAAUGUGAUGAAAUCAAUUAGAAAGUUGAGACAUAAUAAGAAGUUUUGAGUAGUAAUUAGUCCUUGUGAUUUGUAUAGACAAAACAUAUAAUACACUAAUAAUUUUUUAAAAUAUUGUAAAACUUGAAAUAAAAUAAAAAUAAAAGUUUGGCAUGAGAACGUGGCAUCUAAUCAAUCUUAAAAAUGAGACUGAUACUGAAUAAUAAUUAGUUAUGAUUUGGGAAACAAAAAUGUUAAAGUCAUUGUUUUUAAUGUAAACUGGUAUGAUUUUGACCUAUUAGGUUAAUUAUUUAUUUUUAUUAAAUUAUAGUGUAAAAUUUAAAGAUUAUUAUUUGCUCAAAAUUUUUGUGUUUUUCGUAUAUUUGAAAUUUAAUCUUUAUAUUUUUUAUUUUCUGUGAUUUAGUCUCUCUACUUUUUGAAUUAAAAAUUUUAGGUUCAUUUAUUAACACUGUUAAAAAAGUUUUUCUGUUAGUAUGGCAUUUUGAAAAAUAAAAUAAACUUGAUAUCUAUGUUUUUAAUUAUUCCAAAUAUUGUUUCACUAUUUCAAGAUAAAUUAUUUGUGUUUAGACCAAUAUCUUAAGAACUAUUGUUGCAUGUUUAAUUAUUCUAAAGAAUUGUUGAUUGAGUCUUAGCUGAAGUGCACUAUUCUCCUAUUUAUGAAUUGGGGAGUUGGUAAAGUAUUAAAUUUUGAUAUAUUUUAAAAUAUUAAAAAUUUAUUAAAAUAUUUUUUAUAAAAAUUGAUUAUACCACAAUAUACAAUUUUAAUAUCAAAUUUUUAUUUUUUUUUAAAAUAUUAGCGAAUAUAUACUUUAUUUCAAGUUACACAAUUUUUACUAGUUUUUAAAUUUUUUUAAAAAUUUUUAUCGUCUUUUAUAAUUUCUAAUAAUUUUUUAUAAUUUUUUACAAUAUUUACAAUUUCUAACAAUUUUUAAUAAUUUUAUUAUUUAUUACAAAUUUAAAAAUUAACAAAUUUUUAUUUUUUAAAACAAUUAUAUAUUUAUAAUGUAGUUGUUUUUUUUAUAAUUUUAUUUGAAAUUUUAAAGAUUUUUUUUGGUUUUUUUUAGAUGAUGAUGCCAUCAUGAUGUCAUCAUAUGUCACAUGGCAAUUUAUAAUUAGUUGAAUAUCUCAAUCUAUUUUAUUAACGUCCAAUAGACUAAAACAAGAACACCUGAUAAUGUUAGAGACUACACUAGGAAUGUUUGAUAAUAUUAGGUACUAAAGUGGGCAAAAAAAAUUAAGGACUAUAUUAAAAAUAUAUCUAUAAUAUAUAUAAAUGCAUGGAUUUUGAGAAACUUUUGAAAUGAUAAUUAUAUAGUCUUUGUUUUUUUUUUCUAUAUUAUUGAAUUUUUUAUUUUAAAUAUUUUUUUAUUACUUUUAAGAUUUAUCAUAUGCAUGGAUAAGAAUUUUGGUUUUACUAAAAUAUUUGGUUAAAUAAAUUCACUUCAUAAGAAAAUUUAGGAUCCUUAUAAAUAACAAUUUUGAUUCUAUUAAAAAUAUUAUUUUAAAAAAUAUAUAAUAAAAAUUUAAAAUUUAUAUUGAAUUACUUUAUACUUAAAUUAUUAUUAGAAACUUUAUCAUACACAUACAUAUAUGAGAAGCACGUAUUUAGAACAUAAAUUUGUGUUUUAAAAUAACUUAUGAUAAAUAAUGAAAUGUAUAAUUUGAAACUAUUUAAUAAUAACACAUGGCAUAUCUACCAUAUUAAAAUAAAAAUAGAUUAAAUUGUAGGUAAAACAUAAUUUAAACAUAUGAAUACAUCAAAUUAAGAAUACUAAAUGAAUACAGUUAUUUAUGAUGAUGUUGUUGCCAAUUCUUAACUUGGUGUCGAGUUAAUUUGUGACAUCAUAAAUUUAAGUGGUAAAUUUAAGGUUUUAUGUAUUGAUGUGGAUUCAAAUAUCACCAUAAUUUUUUUUAAAAAUAAAAAACUAAAGUACCCUCAAACAAUAUAACUUAUAUUAAAUAUGAAAGGGUAUUUUUAUAAUUUCUUUAACCGAGUUGAUGCCCGGUUGACUCAUGACACCAACUCAAUCAAAAGCUUCAAUAAUAAUAUAGAUAUUCACGUUAAAAAAACCAAAAAAAGUACUUUAGUUCCAAAUAAUUAUAUAAUAAGUAAAUUUAUAAUUGAUGAAUAAAUUUAUAAAUAAUAUAUUUAUAUGAUCUAAUAUAUUAUAUAUAUUAAUUAUAUAUCAUCUACAAACUUUGAAGAUCAAUUUAUUAAGUAUCAAGAAAAGAAAAAAUGAAAUUGAAUUAACACUAAAUCGAUUUUUAGAUUUUGUCCAGAUGAUUUAAUGAUGAUAAAAAAAUUAUUAGCACUAUUUUUGAAUUAACAAAAAAUUAGUGAUAUAUUUUAAUUAUAUUUAUUAUUUAUUAGUUUUAAUAAUGUUUUUUUAAUUAUAUGAAGUAAAAUUAUAUCGUAUACUAAAUAUGGUACAUAUACUUUAAUUAUAACUUGAAAAAUUAUUAUAUAAAUUAAUAUAUUUUAAUUAUAUUCAACCAUUUGAAUAACAAAAUUAAAAAAAAACUAAUUAGAAUUAUUUACUUUUUAAAGUUUAAUGGAAAUUAAAAAAUUAAAAAUAAAUCAAUUCAUAUAAAUCUUAUUGUUUAUUAUCAGAUUAAUAUGAUAAAAGUAUAUGACAUAAAUAGAAGAAACAAAUUCAACACAAUGUUUUUGGAGUUUGGAAAAAAUUAAAGUGAAAAACAUACCUUCUAAUUUGUUGUUAAAUAGCUCUAUACCUUCGAGCGUAGUUGAAUUAAAAAUACUUGAUGGAAUCUGGCCUGCACACAUAGUCGAAAAUUGAAGUGAAAAAUAUACCUUCUAAACUGUUCAACUAAAAAUACUUUAAGCAUCUUUUUUUCCAUCAAAUUAGUUAUCUAUUACAAAUCAAACUCUUUUAUGAAAUGUUGAAGAUGGAAGAUGGAACCUGACCAGAUAAUUGAUUGAAUCCCAAGUUCAAGAUCUCUAGAUUAGACAUGUUAACAAGUGUUUCAGGGAUUGUGCCUGUAAAGUUAUUAUUCUUCAUUUCCAGCCUUCGAACUCUUUGUAAGUUCCCAAGCCAUGAUGGAAUUUCCCCAUUCAGACGGUUGUAGCUUAAUUGAAGGAUCCUCAAACGAUGCAAGUGGCCCAAUUCUUUAGGGAGAUGGCCAUAGAAAUGGUUGCUACUCAAGUCUAGAGAGAGUAGAAAUGAAAGAUUUCCAAGGUGUGGAGGGAUAGUACCCCUAAGAUUCAUGCUUGUAAGAUUCAAAGCUAUAACUCUUUUAUGGAGGAUGCCACAAGAAACACCAAUCCAAUUGCAAACAGAGGUUGAGGCCGUCCAAUUGUUUGCCAUGACAUUUUGAGGACCGGCAAUGCGAUCCUUGAACUCGAGAAGUGCAAAUUGAUCAGAGUUGAGAUUCCUGACUGUUAUAGCCAAGCAAAGUACGGAACAUGGUAUGAAUAAAGCUAAAAGAAGAUGAAAGCAAGUGUUGUAGUCCAUGAUUGCAAGACGGAAUAAGGCAAGAAAAUAAAAAAAAAAGUAGGAAAAGGGAAGUUGAGUUGAUAAAAUAGUUUGGAUGAUGAAGAAAAGCCCAGAGAGCAUGCUUUAAUAUGUUUCAACCCUCGCACACUUGAUAAACUUGAUAAAUUUAAGACUACUCUAAAAAUUAAAAAGGAAAACAAAGUUUUGAUGAAAUUUCAAAAUAAAUGUCAAGUAUUCUUCUUUUAGAAAUACGUAUAAAGAAGUGAAUUUUCAAAAUUUCUCCUAAAUUUUCUUCACAUUACUCCACAUAAUCCAUUAAAAAAAACUUAAAAAAUAUAUUUUAUUAAUUACUAUAUAUUCUUUUAUUUUCAGAAUAAUAAAUUGUUUAAAAUAUGCUACUAGUCCCUGUAAUUUAAAAGUUAAAAAAAAUCCAAUCCUCCUAUUUUUUUAAUUUAAAAAUUCUAGUCCAAUCAUUUUUAAUUCCAUUAAAAAAUUUCAACUUAAUAGAUUUUUUAUUAUCAAUCAUAUGCAACAUUAUAUGAAGGCAGUCUACUCAGUAUAUAUCCAAGUUUACAUAUUUUAAUAGAAAAUACUUACAAUCCUAAUGAUAGGACUAAGUUUUUUAAACUAGAAAAGUACAAAAACUUAAAUUUUAACUUUUUUAAGUACAAGGAUUAAAUUUUAAAUGUUGUCAAAGUACAAGCACUAACAAAAUAUUGUGAUCUAAUAAAUGUAAAAAGCAUUUUAAACAAAAGAUGGUUGAAAUAAUCUAUUUGUCCUUAUACUUUGAUAAAAUUUGAGAUACCAUAAAAUUUGUAUCUUUUUUCGAAUUAUUUAAUGCCAUUUCAACAUUUUCAUUAAAAAAAAAACAUAUCAUUUUGAAUUUGAUCUUUUUCAAGAUGAAAAUAUUGAAAUGAUGUUAAAUUAUCGGAAAGAGAUACAAGUUUCAUGGUAUCUCUCUAAGAAAGCUGAUGUAAGAUAUUAAUGACAUCAUUUGAACAAAGUUUUAGGUCAAAUUAUUCAUCUAGUCCUUGUAAUUAUUCUUUAAGGUGAAUUUCAUUAUUAUUCUUUUAUUUUCUUUGGCUUAAAUAAACAUUUACCCCUAAUUUUAUCACAUUCUCCUUAAUUGGUAUUUAUAGUUUAGAAAAUUUUACAAAUAUAUUAUUUUUUAAGAAAUUAUAAGAAGAUUACAAAAAUUCCAAAAUAAUAUAAAAAAGCUAAGAAAAACCUAGAAAUUCAAAAAACAAAAAAAUAAUGUUUUUACAAAUUGGGGUAUGCAAUCAAUUUUAAGAUGGUUUUUGGAGUUCAUCUCACUUUAGCAUUGACUUACUUUUCUACAGUUAGUCUUCUCCAACAAGUUAAAUAUUUCAAUUUUAACAACAUUGACAGGUCUUAGGGGUAGGGUCGAGCAAAACUCAAUAGAAAUAGAUGAUAUAGGUUGAGUUGGCUCGGCCAAGUCGAGUCGACUUGUUCAAAUUUGUUAAAUUAGUAAAUUUUGGGGUGCAGUUAGAAUUUUUUUGUUUUGAGAUGCUAAGAUUAAAAAAAUUUGAGUUUUGAAAACUUUGACUCCUUUUUGCUUUGAGAGUUGAUUUGAAGAGAAAAGAGCUUGAAGGUGCUUUUGUAGAAAUAGGACAAAUUUUAAAAUAAGGAGUAAAUUGGAAAAAAAAAUUUGGGUUGGGCUAAUUUGAAAAUUUGACACUUUUGUGGGAUAAAAAUAGAAAAAUAUUUUGGUUGAAUACACAUAAGGAGUUACGAACUUGAGACUUAUAGGUAGGCUAAGGCCUUACCACUUAACCAACAAGCUCAUUAUUAUUAUCUUUUAACACAAAUAAAUUUUAAGGCAUACUAAGGGCUUGUUUAGCAUUGCAGUGAAGAAGCAUUUUGGCUUAAAAAACACUUUUGAGAGAAAAGUGGUUCUAAGCUAGUAACUUUUGGCUAAGAUUUUGGCUUUUCAAAAGCAAUUUUGGCCAAAUGGAGAAGUUAAAAUUAUUAGCUUUUCUUACCCAAAAGCAGUUUUGAGUGCUUAAUUACUAAUUCAUCCCCCCAAAAACACAAUUUAAAAUAAAAUAAUACAAAUAUGUUAAUAUUUAAUUACAAAUAUUUAAUGGGUAUAUUUAAAUAUUUAAAAUAUAAUUUAUAUAUUCUAAUUAAAUUUUAUAAAUAAUUAAUAUUUGUUGCUUAAAAAUAUUUAAAAUUUAUAUUUUAUAUAUUAAAAUAUUAACAACAAAUUAUAAUAAAUUAUUUUUUAUAUUCUUACUAAAAUAUCAUAAUAUAAAUUAAUUUUAAUAUUAUUUAAAUACAUAUUUGUUACUUUAUAAUAUCAUGUCUAAGAUUGACGUUUUAUUUCUCAAAAGCACUUUUUGAAAUUAAUACUAAACACUUAAAUUUUAAACUAAACUUCUCAAAGAUACUUUUCUACAACACUUUUAAAAGCACUUUCCAAAAUCAAUGCUCAACUACCUCAAACUCUCUUACCUUAUACUUUAAAAGAGAAAAAAAAAAGAUUUUAAAUUUUAUCCCUAUUUCUUUUAACCCAAUUUUUAGGAUGUCAAACAUUUAUAAAUAAAAUAAGUAAAAGGAAAAAAAAGCAUAUACUUUAUUUUUAUCGCAGGUAAAAGUUUUAAUGGAGAGGAUCAUGUAAAAUUAUGAUCUGAAUAAUUUUAAACAUUUCAUCAUUGCAAAAAUGAAAUAAUAGAAAAGAAUGACUAUUCGAAUUUGCAUUUGUGUUCUUUCUUUCAAUAUUUGCUUUCAAAACUGUGGGAAAAUUUUAAAUUUGAUGAAAUUUUAAAAUUGCAGUUCAGUAAAAUAUAAAUUUUAUGAAUUUGGAGUAGCCAUUUUAUUUAUAAUUUUCUGUGUUUUCUUCUUUGCUGACUUUUUUAAUGUCAUUUUCUAUCAUGAAAGAAACUUAAAGAUUCACUAUGUAUUUCUCAACCACUAUGAAAUUACUUGACUACGGGGGUAGAAUUUUCUCACCAAUUUUCUAACAUUAGAUUUUUUGAAUGAGACAAAUAUUCAAUUUUAACACAUUUCCCAUAAUUAGUCACCCCUAUUUGUGAGUGAUUUGGGGAUAAAAGCUUAAACAUUUAUGGAUCACAUUGCAUUUAAGACGGGUGUUUGGAGUUAUAUGAAAUUUUAACAUAGACUGGCUUUUCUAUAAAGAGUACUCCUUGCUUUACUAUUGUCAUGAUACGAGGAGAUACUGAAAAUUAUUGUACUAUGAAAUUUUAAUUCACUCGAAAAAUAAGUGUUUUAUUUCAAGGGAUUAAUAUUAGCUUUCUCUUUUUUAAAUUUUGAAUUUUUUUUGACAACUGCGUAAUUAAGAAUAUAUCAAUUUUAGGUGUUAUAGGGGUGUUUUAACCUUCCCUAUGUGUAAUCGACUACUGAAACUUUUUUAUUCUUUAGAAUUCAACACAUACCUCAAAAUUUUCUUUUUAAAAGAUUUUUAAAAUCUCUUUAUAAAAGAUUAUCACACUUAACAAAGAUGAUCAGUGACUACUUUUCUUUAAUAAAAUAUUAUGUUUUUGCAGAGACCAAAAUUUUCAUAUUUUUCAAGAAUUCCUCAAUCUAAUUUUCUUUUUGAAUUUUUAUUUUCAAGAGGAAAAUGAUCCCUACAAUUAAUAUUUAUUUUCCUUAUUUUUAAUUUCUUUUUAAGGGAGAUGAAUAGUGGAAUGAUAAUUUUUAGUUAUGGUAAAGUAAAUUUAAUUAUCCACAACCUUCAACUAUUAAUUUUUUCGAUUUAAUUACACAAUUUUUUGAAAUUAACACUCUUUUAUUAGUUGUCGCUAGGUGAUGGACGAAAAGUUGAUUUGGACUUUUUGUUGACCUAAUAACAAAUUUAGAUAUUCAAAGUUUACUUAUUCUAUCAAUUUAAUGCUAAAUUUAAAAAAUUCAACAAAUCCUAUCAAAAAACAAUUGGACCUUGAGUACACAGGCUGUGAGAUUUUCACAUGGCUGUGUCUACACUGCACUCUAUUUUAUCAAAUUCGGACAAAGAGUUACACAGGCUGUUCACACGGGCAUGUGCCUCCUUCACAUGGGGCGUGUAGACCUCCACACAACUUAGGAACUUCCACAUGGCUGGGGCACACGGUCAUGUGGCCUUGUUUUGUAGAUUUUUGUUCUGUGUUAGAUUUUGACUCGUUUUGUGCCUGUGUGUAUUCUGACCUCAGUUAAGACUUAGUAAGAAUGUUUAGGACUCUGAUUAGUUCGAAUUUGUGCAUUUGUUUGUAACUAAUGUGUUAAUUUAUUAGUUUGAUUAAAUGUUAUGUGAUGUUAUUAGUAAAUAGUUACAAACCUAAUUGAUUCUAAAUCUGAUUGAUUGAACUUGUGUGUUUCGUUUUCUGUAUGGAUGUUUGUAUGUUGUGUGCAUUUUGCAAUAGCAUAAAAAUUUUACUAUUGAUUGACUGAAUAUGAACUUCUAUAUCUGUGACACUAUUAGUGUUUGAUGUGCAUUCAUACAUAUGCAUAAAAUUAGGGUUUUGGUUAUGAAGAGAAGGGAGCCUGUUUCGGUAGUUCAACUGUAAUAUUUCUGAACAGCAGUUUACCGCAUGAUUCUAUAUAUAUGUCAGCUUAGCUGCAUAUUAUGAUUUCGAGUGGCUUAUUUUCCUUAUUGUAGUGUGUAGGGUGGAUGAACCUUUUAUAGUUCUUGUAAUAGGCCCAAUUUGUAUGGGCCCAAAAAAAUAAGUUACAAACCCAAAAUAAACAUUACAAGCCCAAAAAUUAAAAAAAAAACUAACGGCCCAAGUGGCCCAAAACCUAACCCUCUUUAGUCGCCACUUCUCUCACGCGAGCCAACCUCCUCACGCGUGCCACCACGUCAGCACCUCCGUACCCUCCACGCUCUCUCUCUCUGCCACCAUAGCAUGCGUCCUUGCCCGGUACUUGCAGACCAAGCAAAAGAGAGCACAACAGUAAAGAGAAAAACAUUGUAUUUUUCGGCUAUAAAAGCCAUGAACAAAUCAAUGUAAAUUUUUUACGACAAAAAUAAAUACAAAAAAGGCAAUUGGAAACAAAAAAAAGGUGGUUCUUUUUUUGUUUUUAUUUCUUUUCUACUUAUAUUUCUACUAGUUUUUAAGAAAAAUAAAAAAGAAUGGAGUCGAAUCUUACCCUUUUCUCGCAUGUGCGCCGUCGUGGGGGGUCGAGGUUCGUCUUUUCCAAUGAAAAAUGACAUUUUUUGAGUUGAGGAAGUCGAAAAGUCAAAAAAUGGCCUUUUUUCGAUUUUUUGGCCACCGUGGAUGGCGGCGCCGUCACCGACGACCGACGGCCGCCACGACGGUCCGUCGGUUGGAGCCAUGGCCGGAGAGGGGAGUUGGGAGAAAGGGGGAGAGUGAUUUGAGUGUUUUUUUUUCAGAGAAUGGGGAGAAAUGAAAAAUUAAAAAAAAAGGUUUUUAUAGAGGAUUGAAAUGGCAUCGUUUUGGGCCUUAACCCCAGUGGCCAAAACGACGUCGUUUCACCCCUUUAAUCUGCGCGUGGACCCGACCCGCAAGAGGAUCCGUGUGUUUUUGUGGAAGGGUCUAUUUGCGUGUUAGACCCUUCCACAUUUUUCAAUUGUCUUAAUCCAGUCCUUUUUUAUUUUCUAAUUUGUACUUCAAAUUUUAUUUUAUUUUUGAUUUGGUCCUAGCAAAACGGCGCGUUUCAGAGGGCGGGGAUAUUUCCCCAAUUGGUCCCUCUUAGUUAUUCGCGCCUUUCAAAUGGGUCCUCUACCUUAUUUUCAUUCUCGAUUUUUACCCAGUUUUCUGAUUAAACUUCAAUUUAGUCCUUCUGCAUCUAUUUUAUUAUAAUUUUAGCCCCUCUUAUAUUCAUAAACUUAUUUUAUUAGGAUUUGGACUCUUAAUUUUAUUUCAAUGUCAAUUUAAUCCCCUUUUAUCUCAGUCUAGGUUUUAUUUUCUUUUUUUUUGUUGUGCUUUAUUUAUUUUAUUUAUUUGCUUACCAUUUCUUUUUUUAUUUUGAUUUUCGUAUUUAAUGAUGCUUUUACUUUAUUUAUUUUAUUCUUGACUUUCAUUGUUAUUGUUGUUGUUGUUGUUGUUAUUUUUAUGGUUUUUUAUUAUUUCAUUUAUUUACAUAUUUUAUUCCAAAUUGUUGCUUUAAAUUUUGUUUACAUUUUAAUUCGGUUCUUUACUUUCAAUAUUUUUUUAUAAACUAUUUUCCCUUACAUUAUUUAUGUAUUUAUUUUAUUUGUUUUUUUUAAAGUUGGUAUUGUCCUUUUAUGUGCAUACUUUGACAUUAUUACCAUUGUUAUUAUUUAUUUUAUUUAUCUUUUGAUUAUUCAUAUUAAUGUUAAAGUAGUGUAUAUUAUAUGAUUCUCGUAAAUUGUCUUUAUUAUAUUCAUUAUUGUUAUUUAUUAAUGCAACAUUUCAUUCAUGUAUUAUUUUAAAUAUUACACAUUUUUACCCAAAUUUGUAAAAAAAUAUAAAAAUUAGAAAAUAAGCAAUAUUUCGUAUUUUGGAAUUUGAAAAGUCGUUCCCUAACUUACGGGGUUUCAAUUUUUUUGAUAAAUCCAAAUAUACGAGCUAUUUUUCAAAAACACAUUUUUAAAAUUAUCUCGAGAAUUAAAAAGAUCGUUUUUCAACUUUUGGAAUAUGAUUUCUUUUCUAAAACUGAGAUAAUAAAAAUUUUCUAAAAAUAAAUAAAAUUUUUGGUGUUUAUUCUCGUUUUGAGAUUUAAGGUUAUGUCCUAACUCACAGGGUAUAAUUCUUUUUCUCGGUUGACAUAAAAUAUGCCCUUUUUAAAAUUCUUUUAGGUAAUUUUAAUAAAAGGAUCGUAUUUUAAGUCUCUUCAAAAUUUUCAACUUUCGACAUUAAGACAUUAAUUAAUCAAUUAGGUAUCAAUUUUGGGCGUGACGAGGGUGCUAAUCCUUCAUCGCACGUAACCGACUCCCGAUCCAUUUUUCUCGAAUUUCGUAGAUCAAAAUCAUUGUUUUAGUAAAAUCGAAACGUUUUGUUAAAAAGAUUGAAUUGCAAGGUGAUCCGAUCACACCAAAAAAAAAUAUCGGUGGCAACUACAGUUUUUUUCGUUUUUAUUUUUAUAAUAAAAGUCGACCCCUUUUUUAUUAAAAAAUGGCUUCGAUAGUUCUAUGUGGUGUGAGGGUAGACGGGCCUUCUAUAGCCCUAAUGUGGUGUGCAGGGUGGUCGAAGUGGUGUUCAAAUGGUUGGGUGGGUUUUUAACUUAUUGCAUACGGUUUGCAUUAGGCAUAUGUGUCUGAUUAUGAUUCUUUUUAAAAUUAUUUGCAAAUGUUUGUACUAAUUUGAUUAUUACAUGUGUUAGAGACAUUGCUUAUGCAGUUUGAUACUAUAUAUUGACUUAUUGAUGUAAGAUUUUCGUAAGUGACCAUCAUAUAGUGCUUGUCUGAAAUAUUUAUGGAGUUAUCCCCUCUUUUACCGACUGUUGUGUUUUGGACUCACACUGAGCUCGCGUAGCUUACCACCUUAGUUUUCUCCCUUUUAGAUACUCUCGUGUUCUGUAGCUAGACUCGACAUAUUAGAAGGCUCAGACGGAAGAGGUGAGAUUUGAUUUAAUAAAGUGUUUCAAUUCAAUUUUAGUUUUUCUAACUUCUUGGGACUAUAAGUGUUAAUAGGGACUGUAGUAUAAGUUUUACUUCUGGAUUUUCGUAAAUUUUUAUUUUGGGACUGAACUUUUGAAAUUGUGGAAUUAUACUUUCUAUUGUUUUUAACGUAAUUUAAAAUCUUUGUUUGAAUCCUGAAUGGUUAAACGACUUAGUUUGAUUUUAGCAAAAAUGAGUUAUAAAUGAGAUGUUAACAAUUCAUUUUGUAAAAUUAUUUUUAGAUCACUUCGGUGUUCAAAGUAACCUCUGAGAUUCGAUCCAUACUUCUAGGCCGAGUUUUGGGGUGUUACAUUAGUUUUCAAGAGGAGAUUGGUGAUCUACUUGAAGAUAGAUUGAUUUUGAAAACUUUGACUCCUUUUUGCUUUGAGAGUUGAUUUGAAGAGAAAAGAGCUUGAAGGUGCUUUUGUAGAAUCAGGACAAAUUUUAAAAUAAGGAGUAAAUUGGAAAAAAAGGGUUUUGGGUUGGGCUAAUUUUAAAAUUUGACACUUUCGUGGGAUAAAAAUAGAAAAAUAUUUUGGUUGAAUACACACAAGGAGUUACGAACUUGAGACCUAUCGAUAGACUAAGGCCUUAGUACUGAACCAACAAGCUCAUUCUUAUUAUCAUUUAACACAAAUAAAUUUUAAGGCAUACUAAGGGCUUGUUUAGCAUUGCUGUGAAGAAGCACUUUUGGCCUAAAAAACACUUUUGAGAGAAAAGUUGUUCUAAGCUAGUAACCUUUGGCUAAGAUUUUGGCUUUUCAAAAGCACUUUUCGCCUAAUGGAGAAGCUAAAAUUUUUAGCUUUUCUUACCCAAAAGCACUUUUGAGUGCUUAAUUACUAAUACAUCCCUCCAAGAACACAUUUUAAAAUAAAAUAAUACAAAUAUUUUAAUAUUUAAUUACAAAUAUUUAAUGGUUAUAUUUAAAUAUUUAAAAUAUAAUUUAUAUAUUCUAAUUAAAUUUUAUAAAUUAUUAAUAUUUGUUGCUUAAAAAUAUUUAAAAUUUAUAUUUUAUAUAUUAAAAUAUUAACAACAAAUUAUAAUAAAUUAUUUUUAUAUUCUUACUAAAAUAUCAUAAUAUUAAUUAAUUUUAAUAUUAUUUAAAUGCAUAUUUGUUACUUUAUAAUAUCAUGUCUAAAAUUGACGUUUUAUUUCUUAAAAGCACUUUUUGACAUUAAUACUAAACACUUAAAUCUUAAACUAAACUUCUCAAAGAUACUUUUCUACAACACUUUUUAAAAACACUUUCCAAAAUCAAUGCUCAACUAUCUCAAACUCUCUUACCUUAUACUUUAAAAGAGAAAAAAAAGAUUUUAAAUUUUAUCCCUAUUUCUUUUAAUCCAAUUUUUAUCCCAGGUAAAAGUUUUUAUGGAGAGGAUCAUGUAAAAUUAUGAUUUGAAUAAUUUUAAACAUUUCAUCAUUGCAAAAAUGAAAUAAUAGAAAAGAAUGACUAUUCGAAUUUGCAUUUGUGUUCUUUCUUUCAAUAUUUGCUUUCAAAACUGUGGGAAAAUAUUAAAUUUGAUGAAAUUUUAAAAUUGCACUUCAGUAAAAUAUAAAUUUUAUGAAUUUGGACUAGCCAUUUUAUUUAUAAUUUUCUGUGUUUUUCUUCUUUGCUGACUUUUUUAAUGUCAUUUUCUAUCAUGAAAGAAAGUUAAAGAUUCACUAUUUAUUUCUCAACCACUAUGAAAUUACUUGACUAUGGGGGUAGAAUUUUCUCACCAAUUUUCUAACAUGAGAUUUUUUGAAUGAGACAAAUAUUCAAUUUUAACACAAACAUAUCUUUAGUUAUUGAGUCACCCCUAUUUGUGAGUGAUUUGGGGAUAAAAGCUUAAACAUUUCUGGAUCACAUUGCAUUUAAGAUGGGUGUUAGGAGUCAUAUGAUAUUUUUUCAUAGACCGACAUUUCUAUAAAGAAUCCUUGCUUUACUUUGGGUAGAUUCUUCCAAUUAGCGUGGUCGUUGGUAUUACUCUCCAACAAUUAUUGUACUGUCAUCCUUAUUCCUACUCCUCCUAGCAGAGAAGUUUCAUAAGUGUUUUAUUUCAAGGGAGUCAGCACUUAGCAACCCCUUGGGGGAUUCAGCACUUAGCAACCCCUUUUAUAUUCAAUGUACUCCGGCUUAUUCCGAGUGUUCAACCGGAAAUCUUGUUUGCAAUAUUUUACCAUUUUUUCCAACUUAACCACAUUUUUAGGAUCUAUGGCAAGUAUUUAUUCUACGUUCAAUUAAAUCUCCUCAUAUAAUGAAUAAUAUCAAAAUAAUGCAUUAAUUCACAUGUUUACUUACCUUGGUGCAAAAUAUUGUAAUUUUGCAAUUUACUCCACAAUUUUCUCUUUUCCCCGAUUGAGGUUGUCUCCUCGUCUUUCUUGAUCUAUAAUAGCAAUUUUAGCUUAUUUAAUAUUCACAUUUAUUAAAACAAUCCUCGACUCACAUUUAUUAAACUUGCUAUUUAAUAUUCACAUUUAUUAAAACAAUCCUCGACUCAACUUUUUACAAAAUUAUGAUUUUGCCCCCAAACUUUUGCAUAUUUACACUUUUGUCCCCAAGCUCGAAAAUUAAAUUCCACUCCUUAUUCUUAUGUUUUACAACAUGCUGAAUACUUUUCCCUUCUAUGGCAACAUCAAAUUCUCACUCUAACAUACACUCAUGAACAUUAAAUAUUUUUACCGAUUAUGUCAAUUUACCCGUUUCUACUUAAAAUUGCUUAGUAAAAGUUGUUUAACAUAAUUCUAGCUCCAUAUUCUACCAUAAAACAGUAAAAUAAACACAUUUCACCUAUGACUAUUUUUCCAAAUAUGAACCCUAGGUUAAAUUAUGUGUUUUGUUCUUCCAAAUGUGUUUUGUUACGAAAUUGAAAACCAAAAUUUAUGUAAAUUUGUCAUGAUUCCUCAAUAGAAAAAUCUGUAAAUUAUCAAAACGUAAAUGUGAACAUAUUAAUUAUUAACUUAAAAAAAACCUAGUCUUGUACAAUCAAAAUUCAAAAAUCAUUUGCCUUGUAAAACUUGUAAUUUUCAUUAAAAUUUUUGCAGCGAAAACUUUUUAUUUAGCCUAUUGAGCAUAUUUUUAAAUUUACGUUUUUAACUUUCGUAAAAUCCCAAUUUGUAUUUUUGUGGUGGAAAAUUUUAUAAUUUUGAAAACCUAGCCUUGAUUGUUGGUUAACACAAAUCAUGCAGAAAAAAAAAACCUUUAACUAAGCCAAAGAAAUCCAAAGCCAAAUUAAAUCGGAGAAAUUCAACCAAAAGCCAAAAGUCCAGUAAAUCAAUUUAUUAACCAGAGCAAACAUUUAAUGAAAGAAUCAAUCCGAGACCCCGCAAAUUCUAACUUUCCGAUUACCUGAAACAUCAUAAAUAAAAUAAAGGGGAGAGCUAUAAAGCUCAGUGCAUAACUAAAACAGAAGCUGAGAUCACAUACAAUACAAUAUACAAAUCAUAAAAUCAUAGAAAAUUUCAUAACAAACAGUCAAACAGAAUUGAGUAUACAUGAUUAUGCCAAUGCGGUAUUUUUCAGAAAAUCUUAAUGCAAAUUUUUCAGAAAACGUCCUACCCAAAUCCUCUACACACUUGAAUAGAGUUCUCCAGAACUUAUCCAUAAAAAAAACACACCAAUUAAGUCAUCCCAGGUUGCCCAAAAACGAUGACUCACCACCAUGGGAUGCCCGACAACGAUGGCUUAUCAAUAUGUAAUUAAACUGUUAGAUCAGAUAUUUGUGGUCAAGCCAUUGAAUUGCAUCUCAGCUACUUAAACAAAAAUAUGUAGUGAAGCCACUAUAUUGUAUCCAAGUUGCCAAAUAAAAAUAUGUGGAUAAACCACCAGAUAGUGCAGACCAUUAAACUACCAAAACUUCCUCCCUGCCAUAUUAUCCCAACCCCAUGCAAUGUGACAUGACAUGCAUUUACAUAAUCAAAACGACAAGCAUGUAAGACAUGUAGUCGUACCAUAACACAAUUUAGCAAGCAUGGCAUUCCACUCUUUUACAGAACAGAUGUAUCAGAAAUUCAACAUAAGCAAGUUGGUAUGCUAUAAAGUCACAUGCAUGAUCACAUAGCAGAAUCAGAAACAUAAAAAUAACGUAACCAAACCUCAUAUACACAAAUACAAACAUAACAAUACAAAUCAUGCUACCAGAUUCAUUAGAAAACAGUUCAUGCACACUAAUUUCACAUACCUUAUUCAUAUCACCUACAAUAUCAAAUUAUCAGAUAUUACAUUUUCAAAGUCAAUUUUACACAGUACGAACCCUACAAAGUGGCUAAACAUGAUUCACGAAUCAAAAGGGGCCUAAACGAAAAUUUUUAAAAGAUGGGCCAAUAUGGCCCAAUUAGCCUAGGCCGUAUGGCGUCGACAGUCCAAUUUUUGACUUUCAGCUGUUCAUUAUUUUUUGACUUUUUUGAUAUACACCUUACUAUUUUCCGAAGCAAAAUCAUGGCAAGAAUUCCAAAACUUAAAAUCCAUAUUCAACCCACUCAAAUUAGUAAUGAAACCCAAAACUAAAUCAUUAAACAACCAAAACUGCUACCAAUAAACCUUAUCAAACCAGGAAUCAACCUUUUGGCAUCUGACUACUAACCCAAAAUAGUAGCAGUAGUACUAAAAAUCUCUCAAUUCAUCGGAAGACUAUUUGUUACAGAAACGUCACCUAAACCAAAGAUUUCAGAGUAAUCAAAAUCGCGUCACACAAAGAAGGAAACAAAUUAACCCUAAAAUCGUGAAACUCAACAAAAUACGAAUCUUUUCACAUAUUCCUUACCACCAACCGUCAAGAUUGGUCAAAAACCACUAAUGACACCGACCAUCGCAAGGUUAAAUUGAAACCAAAAGGCAACUAAAGAUGGAACAAAGGUUGUUAUAAAAAAAAUUAACAAAGACUUAUUGCAGCAAAAAUGGCAAAAAAUCAAGAAUAGGGAGAUUGGAAAAAAAUAAUGAAACGGCAAAGAGAAGGAGUGGGAAAGUGACGGCAGUUUGUGGAGAGAUUUUGGGUAAAUAAAAAGUAACUCACCACUCAACCCAUUAAAUCUGAUUACCCUCUAGACAGAUUCCCUUAGAGUUUAAAUUCAACCCAAAUACCGCUACAUGGGCGGCAUAGUGUAAGGAAAUAAAAAUAUUUCUACUUUGCACACACGCGGUCUUGAACACGAAGCCUUAGGGUAAUUUGAAGCCUUACCACUAAAUUAGUAGGCUCAUCCUUGAAAUUAAUUGAACGAAAAUAUUAUUUAUGUCAGAUGAUCAGGGAUAGAGGUUAAGACCAAAGAUGACAAAAAUUCAAAGGAAAGAUUUAAACCUAGAACCUCACACACACAAGCAUAACACCUAUCCACUGAACCAUAUUUACUCCACUGACAUAAUUUUCACAAUAUUAACUAAAAAUUCAGAAUAUGGUCACUCUUGGUUUCACUUACCUAAUUUCUUCUAACCUGAUUUUUGUGAUGUGACAACUCUCCCAUCCUUAAAAGAAUUUCAUCCUCGAAAUUCCUAUUAUGACACCAUACACUUAACUACAAAAUCUAAAAUUCCCUAGUCCAAACCAACCACCAGGCUAUCAUUGUACAACUCUAAUCUCCAUUCAAGUCUGAUCCAGACAAUAUUUCAGAGGAAUUUCCUAUUCACUACCUCGAAUUACCUCAAUAAGCUUUCCACAGAAACAUCACUAAUGAUCCUUUACCCCAGACUCUAAAAAAAUCACUUACCACAAAAUACAGGUACAAACAAUUCUUAUCAAUGCAUAGUACAUUUGGAACAUAUCAUAAAAGUACCUGUAUCAUUGUCAAAUGCAUCACGGCUCGCUUGAUACCUAGUUGCAUAUCCCCAUCUCAAAUUUUGUUUUUAUGUCGAAGCUUGUACCCGUAAAAUAGUGUCAUGAGCAAUCCCAAACUCGAUGCUCAACUGACCUACAUCUAAAACACGCUCUCAUUUUCCUCCAACAAUCGUCCGAAUGGUGCCUAUCACAGUAAGUAUAAAUCAGAAGCUCAACCGCAUUCACAAUUGCCUCACCCCGCUGAAGCCUGUCUAUUUUAGCCCGUUUCCUUGGUCAUGGAUUCAAGUCAAUAGAACCAUCACUCAUCUUAUUUUGCACUUUAUUCAUUACUUAUUCUCUCCCUUGGAGCAAUUACUCUCUACCGCUAACUUGACUUGAUACGCUUGAGGUCACUCAAUCACAGACUCUUGUCUCAUACAUCCAAAUUGGGUUCCAUCGAUCCUUUGCAAAUCUCUAAACACCUCUUGGAACACUGAAACGUCCCCUACUUCUAAACUGCCCUCAGAUUUGGGCGUCAUAGCAAACUUAUUUAUUUUCAAAUUGGGCUUACUGCCCCGAGAAGAGAACUCAACUCGAGUCACCCAGCUACGUCCACCACGCCCUCGCACAUCAUGACCUCGAGUACUCAUUAUACUAAUCUACAGUUUGCGAAAUUUUAUGAAUUAGCUUAGGUUUAUUAAAAAUUAUAAGUCUAGAGUUUUAUCAAAGUUUCUUACAUAAUUACCAUAGUCUUUAGCUAGAGUAGAGUAAUCCUAGCACUUAAGUUUUGUUAGUUUGUCUAGUAUAGCUAAAGUAAAGAUACUUACAGGAUCGACGAUGUAGUUUUGGAUUCUUUUUGAUAGAAUCAAAUAUAAAAAUAAUCAAAAUCUAAAUACCCAUUUUAGAAACCCAAAGUAUAAUAAUUAAUCAAAAAUUCAAUUUAUUUAAAGCAUAUUUAAUGGAGAUUUUCAAACCCAGAAAUCAUAGCCUGAGUUUUGUUACCUUGCUCUGAUACCACUAAAUGUAACACCCAAAACUUGGCUUAGACAUUAUGGCCAAAUCUGGAAGGUUACAUUAGUACGAAAAAAAUGAUUUUUCCAAAGUGUGGUUUGUUACGAAAUUGAAAACCAAAGUUUAUGUAAGUUUGUCAUGAUUCCCCGAUAGGAAAAUUUGUAAAUUAUCAAAACGUAAAUGUGAACAUAUUAAUUAUUAACUUAAAAAAAACCUAGCCUUAUACAAUCAAAAUGCUAAAAUCAUUUGCUUUAUAAAACUUGUAAUUUUGACUAAAAUUUUUGCAACGAAAAUUCCAAACUAAUAUUCGUAAAUUGUAAUUUUGUCAAGUAAAAACGUUUUAUUUAGCCGAUUAGGCAUAUUUUAAAUUUACGUUAUUAAAUUUUGUAAAAUCUCAAUUCGUAUUUUUGUGGCAAAAAAAUCUUGGCUCGUAUAAUUUUGAAAACCCAACAUUGAUUGUUCAGUAACACAAAACAUACAGAACAAAAGACUUUAACUAAGCCAAAGAAACCCAAAGAAAAAUUAAAUUUGAGAAAUUAAACCAAAAUCCAAAAGUCCAAUAAAUCCAUUUAUUAACCAGAGUAAACCAUUUAAUUAGAGAAUCAAUUCGAGCUUCCACACACUGCCCGAUUCUAAGUUAUCGAUUAUUUGAAACAUCAAAAAUAAAACAAAUGGGUGAGCUAUAAAGCUUGGUGCAUAACUAAAACUCAAGCCGAGAUCACACACAAUACAAUAUACAAAUCAUAAAAUCAUAGGAAAUUUCAUAACAAUCAGUCAAACAAAAUUGAGCAUACAUGAUUAUGCCAAUGCGGUAGUUUUCAGAAAAUCAUAAUGCAAAUUUUUUCAGAAAACAUCCUACCCAACACCACCACACACCCAAAUAUAGUUUCCCAAAACUCGUCCAUCUAAAAACACACCAAUUAAGUCAUCUCAGGUCGCCCGAAAGCGAUAACCUACAACCUCGAGUUAGUCGGCAAUGAUGACUUAUCAAUUUGCAGUUAAACUACUAGAUCAGAUAUUUGUGGUCAAGCGAUUGUACUGCAACUCAGCUGCCAGAUUAAAUGUUCCUAGUGUAGUCCCUAACAUUAUCAGGUGUUCUCGGCUCAGUCCUUUGGACAUUAAAAAAAAUAGAUUUGGAUAUGCAAUUAAUCAUAAAUUGCCAGGUGGUAUAUGUUAAAGUUACGAUAACAUCAUCAUCAAGAAAAAAACCAAAAAAAUCUUUAAAAAAUUUCAUAAAAUUCAAAUAAACUUAUAUAAAAUUAACUACAUUAUAAAUAUAUAAUUGUUAAAAAAUAAAAAUUCUUAAUUAUUUUAAAAUUUGUAAAAAAUAAUAAAAUUAUUAGAAAUUGUUAAAUAUUGUAGAAACAUUAUAAAAAUUAUUAGAAUCAUAAAAGACGGUAAAAAAUAAAAAGUUAAAAUACUAGUAAAAAUUGUCUAACUUGAAAUAAAGUAUACAUUUGGUAAUCAAAUUUAAAAUAUUGAAAAUUUAAUAUUAAAGUUGUAUAAUUUUUAUAAAAAAUAUUUUAAAAUAUUUUAAUAAAAAUUGAAUAAAUUUUAUAUCUAUUUUUUAAUAUUUUAAAAUACAUCAAUUUUCAGUACUUUACCAACGUUACUGGCAACAAGUUUUUUCGACUUGACUCCCUAUUUAUUGUCUUAAGUAGCUUCCUGCAUCCACCAUUUUGCACAUGGUUUUUCUAUUUUAUACCAAAGCUCUUUAGAAUAGUUAAACAUUCGACAAUAGUUCUUAAGAUAUUAGUUUAGAGACAAAUAAUUAUCUUGAGAUAGUAAAAAAAAAAGAAAUAAUUAAAUAUAUUAUUUACUUGAAAUAAUAUUAUUUUUCAUUAUUUAAAUUAUUUGAGAAAAAAACUUAUUCAAGUUUAUCACGUAAAAAGAUCUACCAAUUAUAAAUUUUGAUUAGUUGAACCAUAAGACAAUUGUUAUAGGUAGUAUCAUUCCAAGAGACAAUUAUCACAUGUUCAAACUCUAGUUAAUGUGAUUUAUAAAAUUUUAAAAAUAUUAAAAUAUCUAAUAUAUUUUUGAAAUUUAUGUAAAUUUUUAUAUUUUACACAGUUUUUUUUUCUAUUUUUAAAUAAUUUUGAUAAUUUUUCUUUUAUAAUUUUUGUCAUUUUUGAAGAUUCUUUAAGGGUUUUUGUUGAUGAUUUCAUUAUGAUAUCAUCAUACGACAUGUGGUAGUAUAUGAUUUGUUGAAUAUUCCAAAGAAUUUUUUAUUGACCAAUGAACUAAACUAAAAAUUUUUAAUAACAUUAGGGACUGAAGUGGAUAAAAAUAUUUUAAAAACUAAAGUUAAAAAAGUGAUAUACUUGCAUUAACAUUUUCUAAAAGAUGGAAGUGUUUUUCUGUUUUAAGGGAAUAGAAUUUUUUUGAGUGAAUAUAGUUUUGUGAGGGAGUAGUGAUAUUAUUAUUAGAGACAAGGCAUUUGAUUUUUAUAUAACUUUUUAAUUAAGUCAAUAUCACUCAUCGAGUAAAACCCAACAUAUUAAGCACAUUAUUAUACUAAUUUAGAUUAAUAGGAAUCAUCAAAUUUACAAUUAAGGAUUAUAAAUUUAUUUAAUUCCAAUCUUCUACCUUUUCUAAAUUAUAAGAAUGGUUUUGCCUUAUAUUUUCUUCAAAUUGAGAUUUAAUUUAUAAUUUUAAUUUUGAUAUAAUUUAGUUUAUCAAUUUUUAUAAUGCAAUUAAUUAGUUAAUACUUUAUUUUAAUCAAAAUAAUUAUAUUAAUUUUAAAGAAUUAUUAUCACCGUUAAAAUUCUUUACUAACAAUGAUUUAAAAUUAAGUUCUAUUGCUUUUGUUUUAGAUUACACAUAAAUGUUUACAAUAUGAAAUUCUUUAUAAUUUUCAAUACAUAUUACUUAAAUAAAUAGAAAAUAGAGUUUUAAUAAUGCACAACCAAAUAAAUUUUAGGGUAAACGACCAAAAUAGUCACUUUUGUUUGCCUUAGGUUACAUUUUAGUCACUUAUGUUUGAAAUGUUACGUUUUAGUCACUUACGUUAUCGUGUUGUAACAUUUUAGUCACUGAGUCAUUAAUUGUCGACAAUGGUGUAAUGGUAAGUUGAUGUGGCACGUUAAAUCAUCAUUUCAAACGAAAUUUUUAGGUUAAAUUCUACAAUUGGUCCCUAUAUUUUUCAUUUUCAACAAUUUAAAAAAUUUCUUUUAUGUUCUUCUAACUUUUUUUUUUCCAUUCUCUUAUGCUUCUCCCUCUAUUUUCCUCCCUUCUUCAUUUCUUUUAACAUAGUUUUUCUAUGAUUUCCAUUUGUAACUAGUCCACAAGCUCGCCUCACUCGAAAAAAUUAAAUUGUUCAAAAAAUAAAACAUAGAAUAACUACGUUGAAAGAAAUGGAGAAGGGAGGAAAACAAAGGGAGAAACAUAAGAGAAUGGAAAAGAAAGAAAGUUAAAAAAACAUAAAAGAAAAAAUUAAAUUGCUCCAAACGAAAAAAUAUGGGGACCGAUUGUAUAAAUUAACCUAGAAUUUUUGUUUGAAAUGAUGAUUUAACGUGCCACAUCAGUUUACUGUUACACCGUUAAUAGAAACUAACGGCUCAGUGACUAAAAUGUUACAACGUGAUAACAUAAGUGACUAAAACGUAACAUUUCAAACAUAAGUGACUAAAAUGUAACCUGUGCCAAACAAAAGUGACUAUUUUGGUAGUUUACCCUAAAUUUUAUUGAUGUUCUAUUAUUUUGAUUUCUUAGACUUGUAUAUAGGGAAAAUAAAGGACUAUUGCCAUUUAAUUGCUUUAAAACAAUUUUAAUGAGCUCUAGUCAUGCAAGAUUACCAUUAAAUAGAAUACUCAUAUAGAAGGAUUUACUAUUUUUGUUUCUCAAAUCACAACUAAUAAUUGUUCAUAAUUUCUUAUUUAGUGUCAUUUUUAAGAUUUAUUAGAUGACAAUUUUUCAUGCCAAAGUUUUAUUUUUAUUUCAUUUAAAGUUUUACAAUAUUUAAAAAAUUAUAUAUUUUGUAAAUUUGACAUUUAAUCAAUUUUAGAUCUAAAAAGUAAUAAUGAUUUCAACCCAAGGCCUGAGCUAGGAAUAGUUUUAGUUUGGAGUACUAUAUAUAUAUAUAUAUACUAAAAGAUGCAAUUUUUAUAAAUAACUUACAAAUCUAUCAUUAAAUCAAAUACUGGUAUGAAAUGGUUUAAUUAUUUGAUCACAUUUUUCCAUGACAAAAUUUUAUUUUUAUAUGAUUUAAAAUUUUACAAUUUUUAUAUUGUGAAUUUGGUGUACUAAAAGAUGUAAUUUUACAGGUAAUUUUAAUACCCAUCACCAGUGCUGCAAAGCUUGAGAUUCUUUUAUUGUGGGGAAAUAAACUUAGUGGAAACAUUCCCAACUCUAUCUCCAAUGCUUCCAUGCUUAAGAAACUAGACUUGGCAGAUAACUUAUUCUCUGGCCCAAUCCCUAAAACUUUUGACAACUUAAGACACGUUGAAUGGUUCCAAAUUUCAAACAAUAAUUUGAUCAAAAGACCUGCUACUGAUCAUGAGUGGACCUUUCUUUCUUCUUUGGCAAAUUGCAAGCAUUUGAGAAUAAUAGAUGUUUCAAGAAAUCCAUUGAGUGACGUUCUUCCAACUUAUAUUGGGAACCUUUCAAAAUCCCUUCAAUACUUUUAUGCAUCUAAUUGUGAGAUUACAGACAAUAUUCCUAUGUAAAUAGGUAGCUUAAGCAACCUAUUACUUUUACAACUUGGCUAUAAUAAAUUAAGCUUUAUUCCAACACCGAUAGGAGGACUGCAAAAUUUGCAAGGUUUACAACUUUCCUCUAAUAAAUUAGAGGGGCCUAUAUCAGAAAGCCUUUGUGGUUUGGAGAGAUUAUACUACUUGUAUUUAAGGCUGAUUAGGUUGCAUGGAUCCAUACCCUCUUGUUUGGGUAAUAUUUCUUCUUUGAGAUAUCUUUACUUAGAUUCCAACACAUUGAGUUCUACAAUACCCUCAACUUUGUGGAAUCUUAAAGAUAUCUUAGAAAUAGAUUUAUCAUCAAACCAUCUUUACAAUUCACAUGCUAUAUUGAUGUUGGAGAUUUGAGGAGUCUACUAAAACUAAAUUUAUCAAGGAAUCUUCUCAUGGGCAAUAUCUUCUCCACAUUUAGGGGUCUUCAAAUUUUGAUUUCAUUAGAUUUAUUAAAUAAUAUACAACAUGGCCAUAUCCCUGGAUCAUUAGGUGGUUUGAUUAGUUUGGAAUUCUUGAAUUUAUGAAAUAACAAUCUCUCUCGAGCCAUUCCCAAAUCUUUGGAAAAGCUUUUAGAUCCAAAGUAUUUUAUUGCGUCUUUCAAUAGACUUGAAGGGGAAAUUCCCGCCAAAGGAUGUUUUUCAAACUUCUCUAGCACAUCAUUCAUGAAGAAUUUUGCACUUUGUGGUCCACCUAGAUUGCUAGUCCCACCUUGCAAAAACAAUAUCCAAGAAAACUCCCAAAUGAAUAUAUUGCAUGCUUUAAGGUAUGGUUUACCAACAGUUGGUAUUGUUGUAGUACUAAUAGUCUUAACUAUUGUAAUCACUGAAUUUUGUCCGGCUCGAUUUGGUUUUUUUUAAAAUUUUUUUUUAAAUACAAAAAAUAAAAAAUUGUAUUUUGACCCCUAAACUUUUUUUAAAAUUACAUUUUACCCCUAAACUUUCUCAAAAUUACAUUUUGACCUCUAAACUUUCUCAAAAUUAUGUUUCGACCCUAAUACUUUUCCUGCAUUUGCAGUUUAGUCCUUCUGGCAGCAACUUGCACACCUACCCCCGUGAUUUCCGGCCACUGGCCUAGGGCAUGGCCUCCCUCUCCCCUAGCCACCUAAUCCCUGCAAAAAGGAAGAAAAAACAGCUAUAAAAUGGGUUAAAAAACCCCAAAAAUCGGACCCCCCACGAAAAAAUAAAAAAAAAACUUGCAAAAAAGAGAAAAAGAAGAGGAAAAAGGAGAGAAAGAGAGGAGAAAGGAGAAGAAGAGGCCGGCCAUCGGCGAACCACUGGCAGCAGCACGAGCAGCGACGUCGACGGCGGCGAAGGAGACCGAACGGAGAAGAAGAAGGAGAAAAGAGAAGAAAAAGAGAAAGAAGAAAGGAAAAAGAAGAAGGAAGAAAAAGAAAAAAAGAAAAAAUAUUUUUUUUAACAGUCGGGUCAAACCGACCCGACCCAACUCUGACCCGAACACCGCGACCCGACCCGGCACCUGCAUACCCAGGCCAAGCCCAGCAGCCUAAAGAAAAAACAAAAAAAGAGGCAAAAGCAAAAAAAGAAAGAAAGAAAAGGAAACAGGCCAAAAACAGCCCAAGCGCAGGCCCAAACCAACGCCAGGCCCAACAGCAGGCCUAGCAGGCCAACCAACCCAACGCUAGGCCCAACAGCAGGCCUAGCAGGCCAGCCAGCCCAACGCCAGCAGCAGGCCCAAUAGCACAGGCCCAAAAGGCAGCAGGCCAAAAAAAAAGAAGAGAAAGAGAAAAAAAAAGAAAAAAGAAAAAAAGAGAAAUAAAAGAAAAAAAGAAAAAAAAAAGAAGAAAAAAGGGGUUUCAAUUUGAACAACCCGUUCGGCGAAGCUCGUGUUUUAGAUUUUUCGGUAAUUUUAUUUAUUUCUCUUUUAAUUUAAUGCUCGUAUUUUUAUGUUAUUUCAUUUUAAUAUUAUUAGCAUUUUAUGCAUUUUUUAUAUUUUUAUAUUUUUGUAUUUAUAUUUUCAAUUUAAUUCAAUUUUAAUUUUAUUUUAUUUUAAAUAAUUUUAAUAAAUAAGGCAACGGAUCGAUUUAUCAUAAAAUUGUUGAUUUCAUCGCUAUGUUGGGUGAAUAUCACCGGUUUGUGUUAAACUCGAUACGCUCUUUUAAAAAUAAAAAAUAUUCAAAAAAAUUGUAUUUUCAAAAAAAAAUCCUCGGGUUUCGAAAUUUGCGUGUCUUCAAAAUAAUUUCUCGUGUUUUCAAAAAUAAGGUAACGAAUCUAUUUGACACUAAUUCGUUGAUUUCAUUGCUAUGUUGAGUGAAUAUCACUGACUAGUGUUAAAUAUGAUACGUGCUUAAUAAAAAAAUCAGAAAAUUUUUCGUGUUUUCAAAAAUUUCCGUGUUUCAAAAAUUUUCAUGUUUUCAAAAAUUCUCGUGUUUUCAAAAAAAUUCCAAUUUUCAAAAUUUUUCGUGUUUUCUAAAAACUUCUGUGUUUCAAAAAUUUUCGUAUUUUAAAAAUUUUUGUGUUUCUAAAAUUUUCGUAUUUCAAAAAUUUUCUUGUUUUCAAAUUUUUCGUAUUUCAAAUAUCCUCGUGUUUUCAAAAAAUUUCGGUGUUUUGAAAAUUUUCUUGUUUUUCAAAAAAAUCUCGUGUUUCAUAAAUUUUUGUUUUUUUUUAAAUUGUGUUUCCAAAAUUCUCGUGUCUAAAAAAAAUUCUCGUGUUUUAAUCGGAUCAGGAUUAAAUAUUAAAUUGAACUCGUAUUUUUGAAAGUGAAGACAACUCGCAUUUAACGAGAUACCAAUUUCGGGCGUCGCGAGGGUGCUAAUACCUUCCUCGCGCGUAACCGACUCCCGAACUCUAAUUUUCUCUGGAUUUUCACGUAGACCAAAAAUUACCUCUUUUUUAGAAAAAUUUAAAAAAUAAAUUUUCCUUCUAAAAAGAGAAUUUAUUAGGUGUCCAAUCACACCUAGGAAAAAAAAGAUCGGUGGCGACUCCUUUUUCAAAUAAAAUCGAAACACCGUUUUCAAAUUUUCAACAAUCAUUUCGAUUAGCGCCCGUGCACGAAAUUUUUAGGUCGCUACAACUAUUAUGUAUAGAAGAUGCCAAAGUAGGAGUACAACUCUACCAAUUCAGGAUGAUUUGUUUUCUUUGAAAACGCUGAGUGGAAUUUCACAUGCUGAACUUUCACAAGCAACUAAUGGAUUUGAGGAAAACAAUAUGCUUGGUUCAAGGAGUUUUGGAUAUGUAUAUAAAGAAAGGCUUUCAGAUGGAAUGGAAGUUGCAAUAAAAGUUUUCAAUUUGCAAACAGAAGAAGCAUUUGGGAGCUUUGACAUUGAAUGUGAUGCUAUGCGAAAUAUAGAUCAUCAUAAUAUUGUGAAGGUCACUACUUACUGCUCAAGUGUUGACUUCAAAGCCUUGGUGCUUGAUACAUGUCUAAUGGAACUACAGAGAAAUGGUUAUAUUAUUAAAACUAUUUCCUUGAUAUCAUACAAAGGGUUGACAUAAUGAUAGAUGUUGCAUCAGCUAUAGAACAUCUCCACAACGGGCAUCCAACACCUAUAAUUCAUUGUGACUUAAAACCAAGCAAUAUUUUACUAGAUGAAGACAUAGUUGCACAUGUGGGAGAUUUUGGCGUUGCCAAAUUGUUGGGAGAAUGUGAUGUAAUGAAGCAGACCAUGACUCUUGCAACAAUCGGGUAUAUGGCACCAGGUGAAUUUUUUAUUUUUGUAUUAUUAUUUGUCUAAUAUGCAUUUUAUAUUUUGUUUCAUCUGUAUGUGGAUAUAUAUUUGAAUAAUCAUUUUAGAAAUAAUUAAAGAUUAAUGAUGCUCUAAUUUUACUUGAAAUGCAAAAUUUGGAUCAACGGGAAUUGUUUCUAUAAAAUGUGACAUCUAUAGUUAUGAGAUUGUCCUUAUACAAACUUUCACAAAGAAAAAGUCAACUGAUAAUUUUUUUGCUGAAUAAGUGACUAUAAAGCAUUGGAUGGGAAGUUCAUUGCCAAAGGAGCAUGAAAAUCCCCAAAACCUAAAUUCUUUCCUUCUAGCAAUGAAGAGAUGGUGAGGGGAAGGGGAAAAAAUCACGUUAAAUGAAAAGAAAAAGAAAAAGAACAAAAUUAAAUUUGACGUGAAAAUUAUUUUAAUACUUUUAAUUUGAGUUGGAAAGGUUGAUGAUGUAGCAUAAAAUAAUUGGAUAGGACCAUAUUUGAGGUAGUGGGUGUAACACCCCUUACCUGAGACCGUCGCCGGAAUCGAGUACGAGAUGUUAUCCAAUUUAACUUACCAAUUUGGAGCAUAAAAAUUUGCUUUGUAAAUUACUUUCACAAUUUACAGCAAAGCUGUCCACCUGCGCGACUGUCACUAAUUUAAUUAUAACUCGAGUUACGAAACUCGAAAUUUAAAUCCGUAAAUUUUCCAUGAAACUAGACUCAUAUUUCUACGUACCAUAAAAUUUUUAGAAUUUUUGACUUAUCCAAUUAGUACAGUUUAUUCAUUAAAGUAUCCCCUGUUUCACAACUUGACAGAUCUGACCUCUUGGCACUAAAAAUCAAUUAUCUCACUGUACAAAAUUCAUAUAAGGUUAUCAUUUAUUUCUCUUGAAAAUAGACUCACUAAGGAAUCUAGAAAUAUAAAUUAUGACCCAUAAUUCUUUCUGUACAAUUUAUAAUGAUUUUCUAAAGUCAGAACAGGGGACUUUAAAAACCAUUCUGACCCUGUCUCACUAAAAUUCAAAUAUCUCAAAAUAUACAAUUCCUUUGCCUACACCGUUUCUUUCAUAUAAAAAUAGACUUGAUAAGCUUUAAUUCCAUCUAUAAUUCACUCUCUAAUUCCAUUUAUACUAUUUAUGGUGAUUUUUCACAUUCACGUCACUGCUGCUGUCAAAAAAACUGCUUCUUUAUAUUAGUUCCAUUUACACAUACAUACCACCAAAACAUAAUCUCUACUAACCACUUCAAUAGCUAAUCUUAGCCAUAUCAUAUGAACAUACUCAAAAUGAUUAAGACUCUAUACAUGCCAUAGUUUAAACAUUUUGGAAAGCACACAAUACCGAGAUGAUUAUGAUAGUGUGAUACGAGCUCCGACGAUCCCCAAUUCGAUCAAGUUCAAAUCACUAUAAAACAAAGGAAAUAAGAAAAUGUGUAAGCUACAAUUAGCUUAGUAAGUUACAUGUAAAUAAUAGAUACUCAUUUAAUAAUUAACACUUUUAACUUAUAACUAAUCAAAACAUUUCUUGGCAAUUUCAAUCACUUACACAUGCACAAUCUUACCAUUUCACUUACAUAUACAUUUUCACACUUAACCUUUACCACUUUUGAUCAUUAUUUCAAUUGUACCUGCAUACACACUUCAUUUCAUAUUCACUUUAACACAUUAUUAAUCCCGUUGAACACUUGGAAUAUACACGGAUACAUAGAGAUUUAGCACAUAAGUGCCACACUGAUAUGUAGCCGAAGCUACCACUGAUAUGUAACCGAAGUUACCACUGAAUGUAGCCGAAGCUACCACUGGGAUGUAACCGAAGCUACCACUGAUCAAUAACACUGGAAAUGUCCACGGGCCUGCUCACACAAGCUGUCAGGUGUCUGCAACACAUGCUAGAUCACCCAGCACCCGGGACUCACUGUAACACUGUAACACUGGUCUCUAGUGACAUGUCACUUGUAUCCAUUUCUAUUCCUAAGUUCAACUGGGAAUUUACACUUAACACUUUAUUUUCAACACUUUAUCACUUGAAUAAUUCAUGAAUAUUUUUCCUUCCACAUUCAAUAUUGAUUCACAUAUCAAUAAAAUUCACAAUUUAUAAAAAUGUAUUACUAUUAUUUACACAUAACUUACCUCGGAUGCAAAACGACUAUUUCUGUAAUUUAGUCGAUAACUUUCUCUUUUCCCCGAUCACUUGCACUAUUUCUUCUUUCUUGAUCUAUAUUAACACAAUUUAAUACAUUUUAUCAACAUUUCAUUCAAAUACAAUUCAUACACAACAUUUUGGCAAAUUUACAUUUUUCCCCAAAACUUUUCAAAAAUUUCACUUUUGUCCCUAAGCUCGUAAAAAUAAAAUUCACUAAAUUCUUAAAUUUCAAACUUCACUAAAUCAUAUUUCAUGCUCAUAACAGCCCUCAAUUUCACAAAAUCACAACUUUAUGCACACUUUACCAUCUUUCACAAUUUAGCCCUUUUUCAACAUUUUCAUUGAAAUUCAUCUAGUAAAACUUGAAAUUAACACUUCAAACAUUCAUUAUCUAACAUCACUAAUCACUUUACAAUUAUAUCAUGAAUGGGUCAAUUUUUAAACUUUAAUUUCACUUAAAUUAAAUGGUAGAAACAUGAAAUUCAAGCAUCAAUAAGCAUAAAAAUACGAAAAUAAUUAAAAACGGGGCAAGAAAUCACUUACAAUUGAGCUUAGAAAAAUCAAAACCCUUAGCUAUGGUAACAUGAAACUUUCGGCAGCAAGCUUCUGAUUUUUGAAGAAGAUGACACUUAUUUUCUCUUAUUUUGUCUUUUUGGACAAAAAUGCCCUUGACCCAUUACUUAGAUAUUUUUCUAGAAUUACCCUUUUGUGUCCAUAUCACUAAUUUAUGGUCUAAUUGCCACAUAAACACUUCCAAUUUCAUGCAAUAAUUCAAUUAAGUCAUUUAAUCACUAAUUAGACACACUUUGCAAUUUUCUCGAUUUAGUCCUAAAAAUUCAAUUAGGCACUAAAUCAUUAAAAUUUCCUAUCCAUAUUUUCACACAAUAUUUCAAUCAAUCAAUAACUAAUAAAAAUUUAUAAAAUUAAAAUAUUUCACUUCGGAUUUGUGGUUACGAAACCACUAUUCCAAUUAGGCCCUAUUUCGGGCUAUCACAGUGGGAAAGGUCCAUGAAAUAAUUUUUCUAUGUUAUCAAAUAGAUGAAUGAUGGUUAUUGGGAUCAAACUAAUGAUUUUGAGGAUGUUAAUGGUUAAUUUGGUGGAGAGGGUGGAAAAGAAACAAAUAAUUCAUUAUAUGUCAUAUAAUUAUGCAAUUCAAGUUGUAAUACCCAAAUUUUACCCGGCCUACAAAAACAGUCCAAAUUACAAUGGGCUUAUGUGGCCCAAAACCUGAAAUGAACAGAGGCCCAAAACAAUGGCCCAAAACAAUGUCAGAAACUCCUAGGGUUUCUAAGGAAACUUUCCCGCCGCAGCCACCAAGCACCACGAGCCGAAAUCUUCACCUGCGCAGAAACAACGGAAAUGGCAAGAAAAUCAAAGAUUGCGAAUCAAAUAUGAGCAAGAUUUGAUUCUUUAUAUUAUUAUUUUCAUUAUGGCUAUAAAAUAGCCAUUGAUAUGCUGUAAAAAAGGAGGGGAAGACCAAAAGAAAUACAAAGACCAAUAGGAAAUUUUCUUUUUUUUGAAAUACAAAGGUUUUCUUUUCUGUUUUACCUCAUUGUCGAUUAUUGUUCUUUUAUUUUUUCAUUUAUACAUAUACAUAUUUGAUUUUUUAUAGUUUCUCUAUUUUUUUUAUUUAUUUUUGCUUAAAAUAUAAAGAAAAGAGGAGGGAUUUUACCUUUUUUUCGUCGAAGUUGUCGAACGGUGGCCAUCUCCGUCGCGAUCGGAGUGUUGGCACAGGCGAACAGCGGCGCAAAAGGGGUUAAGAAAAAACCCUAGCAGAGCAUUUGUGUUUUUUUUGUUUUUUUUUAUGUGGGUUAUUGAUUUUUAUUUUUUUAAAGAAUUUUCGUUUAAAUAACAUUAGCAAAACGACGCCGUUUUAGGGGAGCAGGAUCCGCGCGUUGACCCGACCUGCAGGCAGGGUGCACGUUCUGGCCUUGAAUGGGGUAUUUGUGCAUUUAGUCCCUCCUCUUUGCGACGCACUUCAAUAAAACCCAUUUUUCUUUUUCUUUUUUUAAAUUUAGCGGCAUAUUUCAUUUUUGUUUCAAUCGAGUCCGUCACUGCGCAGCGUUUUGGAAGUCGGAAUUAAUUUCCCUUUUGGUCCUCUAUUGUUGCUUGCGCAUUCAAGUUGGUCCCUUCUUUAUAUUUAUUGCUAAUUUGCCCCAUUUUUUCGCUUUUAGUUCAGUUUAGUCCAUUUUUUUAGCUAUUUCAUUAUUUAGUUAUUUUUUUAUUUAUUAUUAUUAUUAUUAUUAUUAUUAUUAUUAUUUCUAAAUUUAUACACGCAUUUUUUUAUGGUAUAUAUAUAUAUGCAUUUUUUUUGUAUAAUAUAUAUUUUUUAACUUUUAUAAAUACAUGCAUAUACUUCAUACAUAUUUGUUUAUUAUUAUUUUGAUUUCAAAACUUUUAUAUACUUUAAAUUUUAUAUACAUACAUAUACAUUUUAUAACACAUAUACAUUUUCCACGUUUUAUAAUUUAAAAUACACAUACAUUUUCUAUAAUAUAUUUAUGUAUACGUUUUUAUUCUUUAUAUUUUUUUUGGUUUAUUUCCUUCGUCUAUUCAUUGAUUUAGGUUUUCAUUUACAUUUUAAAAGAAUGUCCUUUUUUUAUAUUGCUUAUUCAUUUUAUAUUUUUGCAUUGUCAUUGUUUAUUUUUUUAUUUUAUAUUAAUUUCGUUUAUUUACUAUUUAUAUUAUUUCUAUACAAUUGUCGUAUUUAUUAUUGCAACAUUUAUACAUACAUUCCAUAUAACAUUACAUCAUCUUUUACUCGAAUUUAAAAAUAGAAAAUUUUCAAAAUAGAGAUAAUACUCGUAUUUAGGAUUUUCAAGAAAAUUGAGCCCUAACGUAUUGGGUUCCGAUUUUCUUCGUUAAAUCUAACAAUCGAGAAUUGCUCUUUGAUAAAAAAUAAAAUAAAAACUUGUCAUCGGGAAUUCAAUAUGUUGUGUCCUAACAUAUUGGAUGUGAUGCGUUGAUUUCUCGAGAUAAAGAUUUUCUAAACAAUAAAAGAAAUAUUCAAUGUUUGGGAUUUUAAGAAAUUGUGCCUUAACGUAUUGGGCUGUGAUUUCUUCAUAAAUUUUAAACAAUUAAAUAUUUUCUUAAAUUUUAUUACACGAGUUUUUUGGACCAGCUCAUCUUAAAAAGAAUAAAAUAUUGUGCCCUAACGCAUUGGGUGUGAUAUUUUCUUUUUUCAAAAUGAGAAAGUCUUAACAAAAAAUUUAAUUUAACUAAGGAUCGUAUUUAUUAACUCUCGACAUUAAGACACUGAUUAAUCAACUCGGUACCAAUUUUUGGGUGUUACGAGGGUGCUAAUCCUUCCUUGCACGUAAUUUACUCCUAAACCCGUUUUUUAAAACUCGUAGGCCAAAGUCGUUUUUUGGUGAUCCAAUCACACCUUAAUAAAAGAUUGGUGACGACUCCAAUUUUCAUCGACAACUAAUUUUUGUUUUUUUUCAAAAUAAAAAUGGUUUCGACAGCUUGGCGACUCCGCUGGGGACACAUACGAGAGUCGAGCCACAAAGUUGAUUAAUUUCUGUCUUAUUGGCGAGAAAAUAAAUUUUUUUAAAAAAAUCAUGAAAUCAUUGUGCAUUCAUUCAUUUUCUUGCUUAAUUGAUCUUUGCAUUAUACAUUACAUGAGUUGAAUGAUUUUACCCUUCUAAGUGGGAGUGAGAAACUAUUCCUUCGUGAGGUUUUCACCUCCGUAUAGGAUAGUGGAUCGCUUUCGGGAUACAUCUGUACCUAUGCCUUCUUGAGAUUUUCAUCUUCGUAUAGUCAUAGGGAAAAUGUAUUCCCCUGAACCGAACUUGAUCUAUAUGAGCCUAUAAUGGGUGAAGAUUGAGGAAUCUGCUGGUUUGGGUACCUUUGCCCUAGAAGUCAAACCACAUAUAGUGAACCUUAGGAACUUGCCCUAGGUAGGGAUAUGCCAAACCCCUAGUGGUCACCCGAAUAGGUUUUCUAUUUAUUCUUGCUUUAGCUUUGUACCAACCUGUUUUCUUUUUGGUUGUGAUUGCAUUGCAUUUUCAUCAUAAAAAAAGAGAGAGGUGUUGAUUCACAUUCAGUUGCUAAAUAGAUAGCUUGUCAUAAGAAAAUGAGUUUCUUGAUAAAAUGGAUGAUAAUAUGGUUGUCCGAAUAUGGUCCAAGAAAUGUGAUAAGAGAAGGAUGAUAGUUUAAUGGAGGACUACACGACUAUGGCUCCAUUGCCCAAGGAUUCAAGAUAACAAAGAUUAUUCGAGAGCCGCUAAACUUUCUUAAAGAGAAACCAACAAGCAUCACAAGGAUGAGUGAGCAACAAAUUGCGGCCUGGAUCAAGCAAAAAGGAGAUAGAAGAGACUUCCUUUUUGAAAAGUUCGUGAGAUUUAUCUUAACGCUUGAAUGAAGAAGAGGAUCGAAUGUCUUCGCCUAUGAGGGCAAGGCUGUAUAAAUAUUCAUUUUAUGUAAAGAGAUUUGUUUUCUAGUAAAGUUCUCUAAAUGGAAUUGAAUCAGAAUCAACGUCCCUUUAUGCAUUCAUUUCCUGCAUUCGCAUUACAUGAUAUCAUAGCAUUAAAAUCCACUAAAAGAUUCUAAUUAAUAUAAAUCAUUCCUCAGUUAAUCUGGAAACCAACCAACCCAUCACACACCACUACGGUACUCGAUCAAAAACUAAAGACAUGGACCAAAGGAUGGAAAGGUUAGAACAGUUCCAAAAAGAAAUGCAGUAUCAACUUCAAUAACAAAUGAAUGAACAACUUGAGAAAAUUCAGCAAAAAAUGAUGGACAAAAUGAUGGAAUCUCAAGAGAGUAUGAUGGCUCAAUUAACUCAGUUGUUGACCAGAGGAACUAAUAAAGGAAAAGGCUCUGUGCUCAAUAUGGAAGAAGGAGACAGUGAGGGACUUCUUUAUCCUCCAGGCUUGACCCCUCAGCAUGGGCAGACCCAAGUAGAGGUAUAUCCGCACAAAUCCUCUAUCACCAUCAAGCCUCAGCAGUUUCAGGCCGGUGCUGUAACACCAAUGAAUUUUCCAGCUAGAUCAGGCCCUAACCCCAGAGACGACCUUGUUAAUCCUGAUAUCCCUGACUUCGAUGAAACAGCUGAAAAAGAGAAAAUGAAUGGUGAAUUGCCAAAACAGCUCGAAGAAAAGUAUAAAUGGCUGGAGGAAAAACUUAGAGUGAUGGAAAGUACUAAGAGCUACCAUGGAAUUGACACUAAAGAAUUGAGCUUGGUUCCGGAUUUAGUACUCCCUUAUAAAUUCAAAAUUCCUGAGUUUGAGAAGUACAAUGGAACUAAUAGCCCCGAAGCUCAUAUUACCAUGUUUUGUAGGCGGAUGACUGGGUAUGUUAAUAAUGACCAACUGCAUAUACAUUGUUUCCAGGAUAGCCUUGCAGGGGCAGCAUCCAAGUGGUACAACCAACUGAGCCGUACCAAGAUUAAUUUAUGGAGAGAUUUAGCAUAGGCAUUCAUAAAGCAGUACAAUCAUGUAACUGACAUGGUACCUGAUAGAAUCACUCUACAGAACAUGAAAAAGAAGCCUGGUGAAAGUUUUAGGCAGUACACACAGAGGUGGAGGAGGUCGCAGUCCAAGUUCAGCCACCGCUUCUGGAAAAGGAAAUGACAAUGCUAUUCAUAAAUACAUUGAAAGCUCCGUUCAUCACACAUAUGUUAGGGAGUGCUACAAAAAGCUUUUAUGGCAUAAUCAUGAAUGGUGAAAUGAUUGAAAGCGCCAUAAGGAGCAGAAAAAUUGAUGCUGGAGGGAAUAACAGAAGGCAAGCCUCAAAAGAAAAAGAAAAUGAGGUGAACAGCGUGAAUACGUACAGAAAAUCGAUUGCUAAUCAGUAGGGUUCAUCAAGACAAGAAUCAUGUGUGAAGCAAGGUACUGAAAAACUCUAGUUCACUCCAAUUCCAAUGUCGUACAAGGAGCUGUAUCAAAGCUUAUUCGAUGCGCAUAUUGUUUCUCCUUUACAUGUGAAGCCUCCACAGCCUCCGUAUCCCAAAUGGUACGACGCAAGUGCACAAUGCGAUUAUCAUGUGGGAAUUACGGGACACUUAAUAGAGAGUUGCAUUACCUUCAAAAAGCUAGUUGAAAAAUUCAUCAACAUGGGUAUCGUCAAGUUGAAUGGCUCAUUUAAUGCAGAAAAUUUACUACCCAAUCAUGAUUGACAAUGGGGUGAAUGCAAUAUAUGAAGAGAUGUUAGGAAGUGUUCACAUCAAUGACAUAUAGGAAUACACAAAUGAAAGGGGGACCUUGUUAGAUAUCCGCCCUUAUAAAUCUGGGAGUGUUUAAAAUAAUUGGAUUGCGGAAGAAAUAUCUAUAGUCUUUAGAGCGUAUUUAGAGUAAUGUUCAGAACAUUCUUGUUGUUUUUAGCCUAAAAAUGAUAGGAAUUCCUUUGUGAAAUAGACUCAUGUCUGAUGAUCAUUAUUAUAAUAAAAUACAUCUUUGUAUUUAUUUUUGAGCCAACAUUCUUUCAUUCUUUGCGAGUAAUUAUUUUGUCAUUCUUUUGGAUUUUCUUCCACAUCAUUCUUUCAUUCAUAAUUAUAUUAAAAAAAUAAUUAUUCGUAAAUUCACACAUUCUUUUGCGCUUACUAUGGGACCCCAAAUAUCAAUGACAUGAGUGACGCUGUACUGACUCAAAAUCUCCUUCUGAGCGAGACAUGUGUUUAAAGGGAUCUCAUGACUUUGAAGAUGACAUAGAUCGUAGCCUAUUUCUGGACCUAUUAAGGAUGGUAGAACAAGUCGAGAAACGAAUCUUACCCUACAAAGAAUCAUUGGGAUAUAUGACUUCUCCUUAUGUGGGGCAUGAAGGUCAUUUGGUCGAUCUCGCCAAAAGAGUCUGACGGUCAUUGAUUCAUCUUUGUGAUCGUCAAUUACUUUACUAAAUGAGGGGAAGCUGCUUUAUAUGUCAAUGUCACAAAGUUGACAGUUAGCAAAUUCUUGAAGAAUCAUAUGGAACGUCAAAAGGAUCAUAUCUGACAAUGUACUAAAUUUGAGCAACAGCACAAUAUCAAAAGUUUGCAGUCUAUUCACGAUUAAUGCCAUAUCACCAAAAAAGAUGGCGCAAAAAAAAGAGAGAAAAGAAGAAAGAAAAUGGAGAGGCCAAAGUGAAAACCCGCAAAGGGCACCUUGAGACCAAAGGGGAUUUGAGUUGAAAACCCGAAACAGGCGGCUCAAAUAUUGAUCAGAAUAGGGCAUGAGGUGAUUAGAGCAACUCGAAUUUUAACCAGAUUGGGGCAUGUGGUGAUCUUGUUAUACCUGAAUUAUCAGGAAAGGGUAGGCAACAUCUUGGGGCAUUGGCAGAGUACUGUGGAUCUCCUAAACACAUGUCAAACUCAGAAGGAUCUUCAAAAAGUUUGUACGGAGAAAUUCAAGCUGCGAUAUCUGGGGCACCCAAUUUUCAUACUAUUGAAUUUGUUAUUCUUAGAAUACUUCAUUCUUUUCAAAGAUACACAUUCCCAAUCAAUUUCUUUGUUAUCCUUUUUACUAUUUUUGAUAAUUUAUUCCUUUCGAGCUAUGCUCAGAACUAAUUUUAUUCUUAUCCAUUGUUAUGACCUUUUUGCAUGCAUAUUGCAUUGGAAUAAUGAUCAAUGGACUAAUAAAACUUUCACAAGGGAAGUUUUGCAUAUUACUCUAGAAGUUUCUAAAUAAUAUAGGAGCCUGAAACAGGACUAUUAUUUAGAACGCACUAGGUUUAAAGGUUGGAAAUCUAAAAAGGAAGAGUCUAAACUAGGACUUUCUCUUUGGAUUUUGUUGUCAAAAAUCAUUAGUUGAACAAAAUAAUAAGAUGUCGUGUUGAUGACAAAGCUUAAAUCAACAAGCAAGUAAUGAUCACCAGGCAAUAGAAAGAGGUUACCUCGGGGAAGAGAGCCCUCAUUUGCUCAUGAGCCUUUGGUACGACACCCUAGGAAUGGUGUAAGAGACAAGAAAGAUUUAGAUCCUGUAUCCUUGAAUUGUGAUAGGAGAGGAUUGAAGAAAAGCCAUAUACCCUUGGGUUACAGUGGGAGAACGAUGGUAUGAAUUUUUGCGCCCCAAUGGAUUAAACUUUGAGGUUUACAGUGGGGGCAACCUGACUAAAUGUUUCUUCAGAAAAGCCAGCCAAGCAAGAAGGCAUUGUAGCACGUUAGUGUUAAAGCCUUAAUAAUCUUCGAACAAUGACAACCUAGGUGGGAUCAUUCUCGAAAAAAAAACUAUGCAUUCAUGCAAACACCAUUCACAGAUGUCUAGUUAGGAGCAUUUGAUUCAUUUUAUGCCAUCCUAAUCAUUAGGCAUAAAUAGGUUCAUUAUACAGGUCAUGUUCCCCAGAGAGCAGAUCAGUAAAAAUAGCAGAUCUUGCCUUCCUACACCGACAGUGAAACAGAUCAAAGACACCAGCCAUGCCUCCCUGGGUUGCAGUGGAGUAGGUUAAAAAUAGCAGAUCUUGCCUUCAUGCACCGACAGCGAAGCAGAUCGAAGAGACCAGCCUUGCCUCCCUGGGUUGCAGCGGAGCAGGUUAAAAUAGCAGAUCUUCCCUUCCUGCACUGACAGCGAAGUAGAUUGAAAACACCAGCCUUGCCUCCUUGGGUUGCAGUGGAGCAGGUUAAAAAUAGUAGAUCUUGCCUUCCUGCACCGACAGCGAAGCAGAUCGAAGACACCAACCUUGCCCCCUAGGUUGCAGUGGAGCAGGUUAAAAAUAGCAGAUCUUGCCUUCCUGCACCGACAGCGAAAUCGAAGACACCAGCCUUGCCUCCCUGGGUUGCAGCGUAGCAGGUUAAAAAUAGCAUAUCUUACCUUCUUGCACCGACAGCGAAGCAGAUCGAUGACCCCAGCCCUAUUUCCCUGGUCAGCAGGGGAAUAAGUUGAAGAUUGAGAAUCUUAUCUCCCUGAAGUUGCAGUGGAGUAGAUUAAAGCCAAUAAUCCUAUCUCCUUAAAUUUGUAGUGGAGCGGAUUAAAACCACAGAUCUUAUCUCUCUAAAGUUGCAGAGAGCAGAUCGCAUCUGGUCUUAUCUCCCAAAAGUUGCAGUAGAGCAGACUGAGUAAGAAAGUCUUAUCCCCCUGAAAUUGCAGUGGGGCAGACUAAAUGAACAAAUCUUAUCUCCCUAAAGUUGUAGUGGAGUGGAUUAGAAUGAUGGGUCUUAUCUCUCUGAAGUUGCAACAGAGCAGAUCACAUCAAAUUCAUCUUUAAGUGACAGCAGAUCAAGUUGAAGCUAUAAGUCUUAUCUCCCUGAAGUUGCAGUGGAGUAGAUUGAAGCACUAGUUCCUAUACCUUUGAAGAUGCAGUAUGAAGGAAUGAGGCUACUUGAAGAAGAAGACUACCUAGGUCCAGCACGAUCGGGUAAAAUUGGGCAUUUUUAAAGUCUUUACUCCAUUCCUGUUACACGAUAACGAGUAAAGAGGGGCAGCUGUAAUACCCAAAUUUUACCGAGCCUACAAAAACAGUCCAAAUUACAAUGGGCUUAUGUGGCCCAAAACCCGAAUGAACAGAGGCCCAAAACAAUGGCCCAAAAUAAUGUCAGAAACUCCUAGGGUUUCUGAGGAAACUUUUGCGCCCAGCCACCAAGCACCACGAGCUGAAAUCUUCACCUGCACAAAAACAACAGAAAUGGCAAGAAAAUCAAAGAUUGCGAAUCAAAUAUGAGCAAGAUUUGAUUCUUUUUAUUAUUAUUUUCAUUAUGGCUAUAAAAUAGCCAUUGAUAUGCUGUAAAAAAGAGGGGGAAGACCGAAAGAAAUACAAAGACCAAUAGGAAAUUUUCUUUUUUUGAAAUACAAAGGUUUUCUUUUCUGUUUUACCUCAUUGUCGAUUAUUGUUCUUUUAUUUUUUCAUUUAUACAUAUACAUAUUUGAUUUUUUUAUAGUUUCUUUAUUUUUUAUUUAUUUUUGCUUAAAAUAUAAAGAAAAGAGGAGAGAUUUUACCUUUUUUUCGUCGAAGUCGUCGAAUGGUGGCCAUCUCCGUCGCGAUCGGAGUGUUGGCACAGGCGAACGAUGGCGCAAAAGGGGUUAAGAAAAAACCCUAGCAGAGCAUUUGUGUUUUUUUGUUUUUUUUAAUCUGGCUUAUUGAUUUUUAUUUUUUAAAAAAAGAAUUUUCGUUUAAAUAACAUUAACAAAACGGCGCCGUUUUAGGGGAGCAGGAUCUGCGCGUUGACCCAACCCGCAGGCAGGGUCCACACGUUCUGGCCUUGAAUUGGGUAUUUGUGCAUUUAGUCCCUCCUCUUUGCGACGUGCUUCAAUCAAACCCAUUUUUCUUUUUUUUUUUUAAAUUUAGCCGCAUAUUUCAUUUUUGUUUCAAUCUGGUCCGUCACUGCGCAGCGUUUUAGAAGGCGGGAUUAAUUUCCCUUUUGGUCCUCUAUUGUUGCUUGCGCAUUCAAGUUGGUCCCUUCUUUAUAUUUAUUGCUAAUCUGCCCCAUUUUUUCGCUUUUAGUUCAGUUUAGUCCAUUUUUUUAGCUAUUUCAUUAUUUAGUUAUUUUUUUAUUUUUUUGUUAUUGUUAUUAUUAUUAUUUCUAUACUUAUUAUUUCUAUAUUUAUACACGCAUUUUUUUAUAGUAUAUAUAUAUAUAUGCAUUUUUUAUAUAUAAUAUAUAUUUUUUAACUUUUAUAAAUACAUGCAUAUACUUCAUACAUAUUUGUUUAUUAUUAUUUUGAUUUCAAAACUUUUAUAUACUUUAUAUUUUAUAUAUAUACAUAUACAUUUUAUAACACAUAUACAUUUUCCACGUUUUAUAAUUUAAAAUACACAUACAUUUUCUAUAAUAUAUUUAUGUAUACGUUUUUAUUCUUUAUAUUUUUUUUUUGGUUUAUUUCCUUCGUCUAUUCAUUGAUUUAGGUUUUCAUUUACAUUUUAAAAGAAUGUCCUUUUUUUUAUUUUGCUUAUUCAUUUUAUAUUUUUGCAUUGUCAUUGUUUAUUUUUUUACUUUAUAUUAAUUUCGUUUAUUUACUAUUAUAUUAUUUCUAUACAAUUGUCGUAUUUAUUAUUGCGACAUUUAUACAUACAUUCCAUAUAACAUUACAUCAUCUUUUACUCGAAUUUAAAAAUAGAAAAUUUUCAAAAUAGAGAUAAUACUCGUAUUUAGGAUUUUUAAGAAAAUUGAGCCCUAACGUAUUGGGUUCCGAUUUUCUUCGUUAAAUCUAACAAUCGAGAAUUGCUCUUUGAUCAAAAAUAAAAUAAAAACUUGUCAUCGGGAAUUCAAUAUGUUGUGUCCUAACGUAUUGGAUAUGACGCGUUGAUUUCUCGAGAUAAAGAUUUUCUAAAAAAUAAAGGAAAUAUUCAAUGUUUGGGAUUUUAAGAAAUCGUGCCCUAACGUAUUGGGCUGCGAUUUCUUCAUAAAUUUUAAACAAUUAAAUAUUUUCUUAAAUUUUAUUACACGAGUUUUUUGGACCAACUCAUCUUAAAAAGAACAAAAUAUUGUGCCCUAACUCAUUGGGUGUGAUAUUUUCUUUUUUCAAAAUGAGAAAGUCUUAAUAAAUAAUUUAAUUUAACUAAGGAUCGUAUUUAUUAACUCUCGACAUUAAGACACUGAUUAAUCAACUCAGUACCAAUUUUUGGGUGUUACGAGGGUGCUAAUCCUUCCUCGCACGUAACUGACUCCCGAACCUGUUUUUUAAAACUCGUAGGCCAAAGUCAUUUUUAGGUGAUCCAAUCACACCUUAAUAAAAGAUUGGUGGCGACUCCAAUUUUCAUCGACAACUAAUUUUUGUUUUUUUCAAAAUAAAAAUGGUUUCGACACAAGUAAUAGUAAGUUUCAUACAAGGUUCAAAGGCAAUUAAAUGACUUGUAAGUUUGUUGAACUUCUUUGAAAGGCCCAAAGGCAAUUGAACAUUUACAAAAUAGUCUCUAUAUACUGUAGAGACAAAUCAAAUCCAUGGGAGCAUUACAGUUAGUUAAAUUGAGCAUUGGCAGAAAUUCCAUCAUAGGAAAUAUUGGCAAAAUCGUCUAUUUAAUUAGAAAAACAACAUAAUUCAUGAAACAUAGAUAGCCCAAUAUAAAUGUCAUCGAGAAAAAAAGUCUGUUUGUUUUAUAGCACAUGAUAGUAAAGCAUGCGAAGUUUCAUUCUUCUUAUUGGCCUCCUUUAGUUUUCCUUGAUCAUCAACCACUAGCCAAAAACACAAUUAGAUUAGAUUAUAAAUGAAACAUUCAAUUAUGAUAAAAUUAAAUAGAAAACACCCUAAAUAACUCUAGAUAAAUGAAUAGUAGCAAAUUACCUGGUGAGGCAAGCUAGCUCAAUUAAGAUCAUUGUGUUAGACUUGUGUAUGCAUUAAACAAUCUAAAAGAAAAUGAAGGAAAAGACUUAGAAAACACUUGAAAAUUGACAAAAUUUAUAUGCCAUUGACUGGUUAAACUAUGAUCACCCAUAACAGACCUUGUAUUGGAGUUUUUGUUGAGGGAGAUCAAGUCCUUCAAGAAAAGUCUUUUAAGUGUUGUUUGUUACGUAAUCGCUGCUACCCUCAACAAAAGGUAUUGUCCUCAUGUCAAGAUUUUAUCCUCAGCCUUUAUGGAAUAAUCAUGGAGAUUACAUGUGCAAGGAUUCAAACCACCAACCAAUGCAUAUGUAGUAUUUACUUUGGAACCAUCUCCGUGAACCCACGAGGUUCUUUGCAGAAUCAAGAGACAAAACCCCAACACAAGAAUAAUACCAUCUAUUGAGGGUCCUUUAACACAACAAAUGAAAUUCAUACAUUUAUUUAAUAAAAGUAAAUAUCAUAUUUAAUUGGGGAAAAGCAACAAAAAAUCCAACAAUAAAAUCCUUAGCAAAAGAUUAAAACACAGUUAUAUCGUAAAUGACAUAAGAAACUAAGAAAAUCCAAUCUGACAAAGAAAAUAACUUGAUGCUCCAAAGCUACCAUAUACCGUAAUUCAUGGGAAGGUCUGAUGCUCAUUUUAUUGGUUUCCAUCUUGAUUUUGCAAAAGAAGUUUGAAUUUUGAAGAGAGCAAAAGAUUGAGCGAAAGAAAAAAAAUUAGUUUAUUAAUUUUCACAAUUUAUAAGACAAACCUUAUGGAGACAAAUAAUGACAUAUUAGAUAUUUGUGAUUAAAAUUCUAGAAUAGAUUUAAAAUGUUGAAUUAAUGAUGAAAUUAAUAGUGAAUUAAUAACAACAAGCGUACUGAUUACUUAGCUUCUUUGUUAAACAUGUUCGAUGUUGUUUAACAGCCUUUGUUUGAUUUUCUUUAGCUCAACCACAACAUCUUUCAUAUCUUUUCUUUCUUCUGGUAACUCAGCUGAACAAUUCAAAGCCAACUCCAUGAUGGAUGAAAUACAAUUUGCUUUAACAACAAAGUACUCAUCCUUUCUUCUUAGUAAAUCAACAUCUGCAAUUUCUAUCGCUCCUUUAGGCAACGAACUUUCCAUCCAAUGCGUUAUAGUCAUUUCUUCAGCAAAAAAUUUAUCAGUUGGCUUUUUCUUUGUAAAAGUUUCUAUAAGGAUGAUCCCAUAACUAUAGACGUCACAUUUUAUACAAACAAUUCCUGUUGAUCCAAAUUCUGCAUUUCAAGUAUAAUUAGAACAUCAUCAAUCCUUAAUUAGUUCUAAAAUGCUUAUUCAAAUAUAUAUCCAUAUAUGCAUGAAACAAAAGUAUAAAAUGCAAAUUAGGAAAAUAAUGAUACAAAAAAAAAAUUCACCUGGUGCCAUAUACCCGAUAGAUGCAAGAGUCAUGGUUUGCUUUAUUACAUCACCUUCUCCCAACAAUUUGGCACAACAAAAUCUCCCACAUGUGCAACCAUGUCUUUAUCUAGUUGUAAUAGCCCAUUUUGCCCGGGGCCCAAUAAAACCCAAAACAAACCAAAAUAAUAAAACAUUCACAGUCCAUUUACAAUAAAUAAACACACUACCCAUAUCAAGCCCAAUUAAACCCAAAUCUCAAAGCCCAAAACAAAACAACACAACCCGAGCCCAUAAACUAAAAAUUUUCAGCACAAAAAACCCUAGCCCUAAGCCUCCAGUGCCGCAUGUGCUCCACCGCCGCCGCUCGCCUAUCACCGGCCAUCCACGCGUCUGGCACCACCUGCAAGAGCAAACAACACGCAAAAGAAGAGGCCAACCAGUAACAGACAAGAACAAAGAAAUGAAACAAAUUUUGUAAUUUUGGCUAUAAAAGCCCGAAUAUAUCUUUGUAAUUUCUUCUUCCGUUUUACGAACAUCUAGUAAAAAAAAGAAGAAAAGCAGAGAACAGAUUUUCGAGAGGUGAAACCUUUUUUUCGGUUCUUUUUUUUCAUUAUAUUUUAUUUUUUUAUUUUCAUUUUUUAUAUCAAACAAUGAAAUAAAAAAAAGGAGAAAGAAAUGUAGCAGAAUCGACCCUUAGCCCCGCCGUCGGUGGUCUUUUCCCCGGCAUCGAAAUUGGCGAGAAAUGAGGCAAAGGUCGAAUCUUUUUCAUUUUUCUUUACUUUUCAGUCAUUUUCCUUGUAGAUCUAAAAUCUACGCUUAAAACGGGCUAAAAAUAAAAAGUUUUGGGUUCUCCGGUCACCGUGGGCUGCGACACCGUCGCCGACGAUCGGCGGCCGCCACGGGGGUCAACGGCCGGCCCUUUGCCCGGAAUCGAAGAGAAAUUUUAAGAGAAAAGGGAGCUUUGGAAAUUUUUUAAAGCAAAUGGCUGAAAUGGGGUUUCAAAAAAAUGUUGGCUUUUAUAAUACUAUUAAACGGCGUUGUUUUGCAACUGAAGGUCAGGUGCCAAAACGACGUCGUUUUGGCCCUUACCCGCUCGCGCUCCCGACCCGCUCCUGGGGGAUCCGCGUGUUUUUGGCGUUUGGGCUAUUUGCACUGCGGAUCCUUCUGCAUUUCGCCCAGUUUAUGAUUUAGUCCCUUUCGUUAGAUUUCUUUUAUUUUUAAUUUCGCCUUGAAAUUUUGUUCUGAUUUUAUCGGAGUCCCGCAAAGUGCUGCGUUUUGGAGGGCAGGGAUAUUUUCCCCUUUGGUCCCUCCUUGUUAUUCACGCACUCGAUUUGGUCCCUUUCUUUUAUUCAUUUGCGAAUUUGCCCCCAUAUUUCUGUGUUAAGUUCAAAUUAGUCUCUUUUUUAUUUAUUUUUGCUAUUAAAUUAAUUAAUUUUGAUAAUAUUAUCAUUAUUAUUAUUAUUAUUAUUAUUAUUAUUAUUGCUAUUAUUAUCUUCGUAUUAUUAUUAUUGUUUGCUUUAUUAUUAGUAUUAUUAUUAUUUUCAUUAUUACUAAUAUUAUUAUUUUUAUUUUACUACUCUUAUUAUUAUAUAUUGUUAUUAUUUUUAAAUUGUUUUACCUAAUAUUCCCUCGUUUAUUAUUUAUAUUCACUCGUUCAAAUUUUCAAUCAUUUUCAAUUAGUUACUUCUUUUUUUAAAUCAGUUUGUUUUAUUUUUUAUUUUCAUUUUAUUAUUUCAUUAUUUUAUUGUUUUUAUUAUUUAUAUUAUUUUUGUUUUUACUCUUAUUAUUCCUUUUUAUUUUGGUUUAUUUCAUUUCAACUUUUGCGCUCAAAUUUUUUUUGUUAUUUCGUCAUCUAUUUAUUUUCGUAUUUAUAUUUUGUUAUACAUACAUUCAAAUCUCAACUAUUCAUUAUCAUUAUUAAUUUUAUUAUUAUUGUUAUUUAUAUUUAUUAUUGACAUCCUCAUCAUGUUGUUGCACACAUUAGCAUUGUAAUCCAUUUUACAUUUUACUAUAAAAUCGCGUUAUGUUAACCUUCAUCCAAUACAUUUUAUAUUAAGCAAUUUUGUAACUCAAAAUUCCAGAAAUCGUACCCUAACUUACUGGGUUUCGAUUUUCCUCGACGAGUCUAAAGAACCAAUCCUUUUUUUAAAAAAUCAAAGCAUAAGUUAAAUAAAAACUUAUCCUCAGGAGUUCAAAAUGUUGUGUCCUAACUCACUGGAUGUGACAUUUUGUUAUCUCAAGGUAAAGAUUUCUAGAAACACAAAGGCAAUAUUUUGAAUUUGGAAAUUCGAGAAAGUGUGCCCUAACGUGCUGGGUUUCAAUUUCUCGUUUGACCAAAUAGCCAAAUAUCCUCUUAAAACUUCAAAGUAUGGGUUUUUCAAACCAUAAGGUGAUCUUUGUUUCGAUGGUUUAAAGUAUCGUGUCCUAACGUGCUGGAUGUGAUAUUCCUUCGGAAUAAGAGAAUCUUAAAUUUCAAUCCAUGUUAUUCAAAUUUUUUUUAAGGAUUGUAUAUUUUUUUAAACUCUUCAAAGUUUUCAAUCUUCGACAUUAAGACACUAAUUAAUCAACUAGGUACCAAUUUUUGGGCAUUACGAGGGUGCUAAUCCUUUCUCGUACGUAACCGACUCCCGAACCUGUUUCUUUGAAUUUCGCAGACCAAAAGAAUUGUUUUAAUAAAUCUAAAUUGUUUAUUAAAAACAAUCGUUUUACGAGGUGACCCGAUCACACCUCAUCAAAAAAGAUUGGUGGCGACUCCCGUGUUUAUUAUCAUUUUCAAAACCCAAGUCGACCCCGUUUUCACAAAAAAAAUGGUGCCAACACUAGUAAAAUAUUGCUUGGUUUUAAGUCACAAUGAAUUACAGAUGUUGGAUGUCCAUUGUGGAGAUGUUCUAUAGCUACCGCAACAUCUAUCAUUAUGUCGACCCUUUGUAUGAUAUCAAGGAAGCAAAUUUCGGAAUGUAACCAUUUCUCAAGGUUUCCAUUAGACAUGUUAUCAAGCACCAAGGCUUUAAAGUCAACACUUGAGCAGCAAGUAAUGACCUUCACAAUAUUACGAUGAACUAUAUU
Molecule: long non-coding RNA, 46633 nt
Filed under: Gossypium barbadense (sea-island cotton)
Lineage: Eukaryota; Viridiplantae; Streptophyta; Magnoliopsida; Malvales; Malvaceae
Description: long non-coding RNA (GBAR_LNC016635)
Source: RNAcentral